RNAcentral lists this long non-coding RNA (57582 nucleotides) under Glycine max (soybean). Its description in RNAcentral is "long non-coding RNA (GMAX_LNC000657)". Lineage: Eukaryota; Viridiplantae; Streptophyta; Magnoliopsida; Fabales; Fabaceae. The record is from RNAcentral.
AUAACUUUGUCGUCACACAUUUUAAUUACUAUAUAUAACUAUUACCAUUUUUUAACAUUUGUUGAGCUUAAUUUAUAACAUGUAUGAUGUACGUACCUUGCGGAGUGAUCCAUACUGGGCACUGAGUUUGAGAAGCCAGAGGGCUGGGAAGUCAAGGCUGGUGGCGGUUGUGAUGCUACCAGCUUGAGGGUUGUAGAUGUCAGGUGAUGAAUUCUGACCAAUGUUUUGGCGAAGUCUCAUUGUGCAAAUGGUCUCAUCAAUGCCAUUUCUGCUCCUUUUGCUUUGGCGUUGGCAACCUUUGUCUGUCUCCACGCACUGUGGCUGCUCUUCCUCAUCAUCAUCAUCUUCUUCUUGCUGUGGCUUCCUCAUGGCUGGAGCUGUGACUCUUAGACCUCCUUUCACUGUCACAAUGGCUCCACUAUCCUCCUCUUCGUUCUCACCUUGUAGGUUUCUCACUAUCUGCAUGUUCACGCCGAACGCUUCUUUCAAGAAUUCAGGGGCGAAGCCACUCAAUAUGUUGCUUCCUUCGUUUUCUUCUUCUUGUUGCUUUCCUUUCUGGCUUUGGGAACCUCCUUGCUGCUGCUGCUGAUAUUUUAGAAACUCUUGCUCUUGGUUCCCAGCAAGAUAGAAUCUCUGCCAAGAAUUGUCAAAACAAAUAGUUGUCAAUCCGUAACCAGCUAGUAUUAGAACUUAAGAAUUCUAAUCUUAACGUUACAAUGUAGUCCAGUUUCCUUUUUUUAUCAGCUACAAUAUUGUCCAUGUAUUUCAAGACAAGAACCAAAUUGGAUAAAAAAACACAACUAUAAGGAUCCAAUUGGCAUAUUUUAAUCUAUAGGUACUAAAUUAGAAAGUGCAACUCCACGAACUAAAAUGAUAUUUAAACCUUUAAAGAAUUAUAAUAUCUAAUAUUGCUAUGUGGCUCACCCUAGGCAUCUGGUCGAGCUGGUUCUCCAAGCUGUUGGUGUCAAUAAUAGAAACGGCAACAACAGGAGUGUCUUCAUUGUUGUACAUCCACCAUGCAACACCAGUAGGCACUGCGAUCAAAUCACCCUCUCUGAAGCGAUGUACCUUUUGGUGACGGUCUUGGGGCCUCUGGCUUCGUCCUCGUUGCUGAGAUUCUUGCGGCUCUUGAUAAGUGCUAGGACAACCCGGGAAUAUCAUGCCAAAAAUACCAUUACCUAUUCAUAUAUAUUACACAACAACACAAAGAAAAAAAAAACAUUAGCAUAACCAUUUUCUUUUCAAAAUGCAUGGUUUCACAAAACUGAGAAAUUGAAACAAGUUAUUAUUAAUUUGAAUAUAUAAGAUAGGUUGGACGGUUAAGAAGAAAAACAAAAGCCACAGUUUCAAUCAAUUUUACUAACAAAAACUAACCAUUAACAUCUGAUAAAAAAAAAAUUAAACAAGAUUAUGGACCUUGUUGUAUGUAGAUUUCCUGGGGACCGUUGGUGUAGGAAGGUCUACGAAGGGCAUUGCGGUUAAGGGUGCAGCGAGAGAGGGCAACACCGGCACACUGGAAUGGCUUGUUGUUAGGGUUCCAGGUCUCAAUGAACCCACCUUCCGACUCUAUACGGUUAUCCGGUUUGAGGGCAUUCAGCUUUUGGAUCUGGCACUCAUUUUGCUGUGCCUGCUCUCUCAGAGCGAAGCAGCCACUGAAAAGAAGGAAACAAAGGGAAAGAACAAGCUUGGCCAUGGUGAUGAGUGUUCAAAGACAAUGGAGAGAAUGUUUGUGUUGUGAAGCGGAGAACCUGAGGCGUGGUUAUUUAUAGGGAAGAGAGGAAGGUGGGUGAGGGACACGUCACAGGAGUGGGGUGCUGAGCUUGAGACAUUCUUCAGUAUGCAUGGCUAUGGAAGCCUUGUGUGUUACACCUCAUUAAGUUCAUGGGUGUGAGGUGGCUUCGACAGUUCGACAUCAACAUUAUGUGACAAAUACCAAGUGUGUUUGUAUUGCAUGCAAUUGCCAGAAAACGGUGGUGGAGAGGGGGACCAUGGUUUCAUUUCAUGUUCGCGGGUUUAUGACAUAUGAAAUUAUAUGAAUACACCGUGUGACAAUGAUGGGAUCCUCAAAGUGAGAAGAAGGGCCGUCCAAAAAUGACCUCACUCUAGGGAUAGAGAAAUUAUUAGGUGUUAUGAAAUUAUCACUAUUCAUGGUUUUGACAGAUCUUUAUGUGAUACUAGUUACUCAAUUUUUUUUAAUUUAAUUAGGAAAUAAUUAAUCAUACUUUAAUUUACAUAUCAUAAAGAUUAGUGGAGAAUAAUUUGUACUGUAUAUAUAAUAAUUUCUUGGAUAGAGAAAUUAUAUAUUAGGGACAUUUUGUUUUUUGGAUUAUCCUCGUUUUGAUUGUCAAUAUAAAAAAAAAGUAAGCGAAAAUAAGAAGAAAAUGACUAAGUUUUAAACAAUUAUAUUAGUUAAACAAAAAUACUUAUAUGUUUUAGGUCUAUAAUAAAUAUGAUUAAUUUUAUUUUGAGUUCUAAUUUUAAUUUUUUUUUCUUUGUAUUGGAUUCUUAUAUCUUAAAAAAUUUAUUUUGACUCUUUAUCAUAGGUAGGUUAGUAAUGACAUAUCAAUCAAUUAACAAAUUACAAAGUCAGAGUUUAAAAACUGUGGGUAUUUCUGAUAGAAAAUAAUCUGGAUUGUCUCUAACUCAUUAGCCUCUCGAUUUUGUCAGGUUCGGGCUUAGUGAAUGCAACGGAUUCUUGGGUGUGUUCCAAUCUGCGUUGUGGCUUGGUUUCUUUUGCGGCCUCAAACACUUUCUUCUUCUCCGGAGGAAGUUUUUUAAACCCUCAUCCGAAUAAAGUAACCCCAUGUAAGCAAUUUUUAAACCCGUAUAGUCCGAAUAAACAAUUUGAAACCGCCCGAUUGUGUCUUUUUAUUUAUUCCUUUAGUGUGGGUUUGGUUCGAGCUUCUCUCGGGUUUAUGCUCAGCCCUAGCUACUACCAUUAUUCAUUUAAAAAAUAAGUUACAAUUUGUGACAGUUUGAAAGCUGUCAGAAUCAAUUAAAACAAAAAAAAUUAAAAAAUUAAAUGUAUUUUGAUCCUCCUAUUUUAUCAAAUCCAUAAAUUUGGUUUUUUAGUUUUAAGAUUUUAAAAUUGAGACCGUUAAUUCCUCUCUUUUCUAAAAUCAGGAAAUUAAAUUUUUCUGUCAAAUUAGUUGUGUUGACCAAAUGUUGACUGUUAAAAUUUUCUUUCUUCUUUUUCCUUUUGCUUUCACAUAAACCUCAGUCUUAUUUGUUCAAGGAAUUAUGCACAUUUUGUGCCCACUGUCCAUGGCUGCCAAAAGUUUCUUGGUUAUUCGAGUCAAUUAAUGCAACAAUCUGGAUAGAUUAAUUGUAGUUCUAUGCAAUGAUUAAGAACUAUCAAAGCAUUAAGAACUUGUAGCUCCUCACACACGAGAAAUAAGAAAUGGACAAGAAUGAGAAUGAGGACUCGAGCCUAAAAUUUAAGGCCAUGGACACCAAAUAUACGGGAAUGAUUGCACAUUUUGCAGGAAAUAAGUAGUGAGCCACAAACAUAAUUCCAUUUAUUCAAAGAAUAGUUAAGUUAUCAUCUUUAUAUAUUUUAAACACUUAAAUUAGCACCUUUACAUUAAAAGAACGCACACUAAUAUUAUUAAAAAAAGUAUUCAUCAUUUUGUAGGCCAACUUAAAAUAUAAUAUAUUAUAUAUAUAUAUAUAUAUAUAUAUAUAUAUAUAUAUAUAUAUAUAUAUAUAUAUAUAAUAUUAAAAUACUUAAUGUUUCUCACCUUUUUUAUGUUUGUUAUCAUAUAAAAAAACAUAGAUGAAUUUUAAAAAGUAAAUUAUUUACCAUCAAUUUAUAUAUUUGUUAAGCUACACAUAUUUUUUUAUUAGAGUUCUUUUUUUGUGUGUGUAAAAAUAUAUGUGAUGUCCUGUCAUUCUAUGUUUUACACAUUAGCUAUGCGAGAGUGUCUGUGCUCAUAUUGUGUCUGAUGUCCAUGUCGAAUUUCAAGCUUCAAAAUAUCAACUAACUAACUUGUGAGUCAAAUUACCGAUUGGGGGUAAUUUUUUUUAAAAUUUAUCAUUUGAGGAUAGAUUUUAAAUUAAUAUUCGUUUAAGGUUUAUGAAUUGAAAGUCAUGAAAAUGAAAUUAAUAUUUCUUGAAACCAAUAUCUAUUUAGUGUGGACAAUGGACAUCAAGACAUCAUAUGCAACACCAUCCUUGACUCUGUUGAAAAUUAAAAUCCCAGAAAAACACAUUUUUUAGCUCCCAUGUUAAAUUUGGAGCGAUGUUUUAUGUUUGAAGACACAAAGCACAAUGGUCCAAAUACUCUCGAACUUUCCAAGUUGGGUUGAGCUCCAAGUCAUGAAGAACCUGAUAAGACGUCUUCAUUCUUAAAGUUAAUCUUCAACUAUUGGGUCUGCAAUACUUUCAAUUUUAGUCUUCUACAUCAUGUCCUGUCCUGCCAACACUUCCUAAAGAUAUCAUCGAUCAAGCUAACUAUCAUUGGACCAAUCGUUAUUGUUUGCCUUUUGUUUUGCAAGAAGCUCAGAAGAAAGAAAAAAAAAAGAGAGAGAGAGAGAGACAAAAGAAGAUUUGACAGAAAACUCAUUGGAAUUUCUCCUUUUAUUCCCGCAAAAGUUUCGUGACUCAUUAUAGAGAGUACUUACAUUAUUAUUUUACAGUGAACAAAAGGCAAGCUAAAGCCUUUGUUUUCUUAUUCAUUAUUAUUAUUAUUAUUUAUUGGUUGCUAGCACUAUUGCCAAAAAGACAAAAGUGGGGUAGCACAUACAAAAAGGGCUCUAAGCCACAGCUCUCUUCUGAGACUCCUGAGGUGGAACCAGGAACUUGAAAGGGUUGUUGUUCUUUAUCUGCCUGGCCUGCUGGCUUUUUAGGUUGAAAGUGUGCUGAAUCACUUCCUCUGGUAAUGCGUUCAACAAUGAGUUUGCCCCUGCAAGAGUGCCGAUCAUGGGUGUAUCAUUGGUCUUGAAUGACACAUACUCGAAGUUGUCACUCUGUGAUCUUGCAGCCACCACAAAGUUUUGUGGCACGAUCAGCACCCGUCCCUCUUGCAGCUCUCCAUCAAACACUCUCUCACCGUUGCAAUUCACCACUUGUAUCAAUGCCCGUCCAUUCAAUGCGUAUAUUAUGCUGUUCGCGUUCAGGUUGUAGUGUGGCACGAACAUUGCAUUCUGCAUCGUACAUCAAUGCAUGCAAGAGUCACAACAAAUUCAUCCAAUAUUUUUAUAAUAAUACUAUUUUUUGUUUUGCUUUUUUCAUCAAUCUUUUCUUUUUUUUUCUCUCUAUUUCUAUAUAUAAAGACAGAAAAGAUAGAAUCCAUGCAAGUGUUAAGAUAACUCCGUCACACAUUUUAUAGUGUAUCUAAGAUUAUUAUUAAUCAAUAAAUCAUUAGUCUAAGUAUAAAUAAUGUAAUUAAGAUGAAAGACUCCAUUAAAAGUGAUCAAACAAAUUUUCUAAAAAAAUUAAUUAUCAAUAAAAUUAAUAAAUAUUUGGCAACAAAUAUUAGUUUAAUGUAUAAAUGUAUGUUGAUCUUUGAUGAAUGAUGUACGUACCUUGCGGAGAGAUCCAAACUCAGCACUGAGUCUGAGCCACGAGAGGGCUGGGAAGUCAAGGCUGGUGGCGGUUGUGACGCUACCGGCUUGAGGGUUGUAGAUGUCAGGUGAUGAAGUCUGGCCAAUGUUGUGGCGAAGUCUCAUGGUGCAUAUGGUCUCGUCAAUGCCAUUUCUUCUGCUUUUGCUUUGGCUUCCUCGGGGGCGUUGGCAGUGUUUGUCUUUACCCUUGCACUGUGGCUUCUCAUCCUCUUCUUCUUCUUCCUCUUCCUGGGGUCUUUGUUGCUGCUCGUCCGUGGGUGGUUUUAUCACGCUCAGACCUCCUUUCACUGUCACAAUGGCUCCCUUGUCUUCCCCUUCGUUCUCUCCUUGUAGGUUUUUCGCUAUCUGCUUGUCCACGCUGAAUGCAUGUUCCAAGAAUUCCAGGGUGAAGCCACUCAAUAUGCUGCCUCCUUCGUUUUCUUCUUCUUGCUGAUGCUUUCCUUUCUGGCUUUGAUGACCUCCUUGCUCUUGCUGAUAUUUUAGAAACUCUUGCUCUUGGUUCCCAGCAAGAUAGAAUCUCUGCCAAGAAUUGUCAAAACAAAUAGUUGUCAAUCUGUAACCAGCUAGUAUUAGAACUUAAGAAUUCUAAUCUUAACGUUACAAUGUAGUCCAGUUUCCUUUUUUUAUCAGCUACAAUAUUGUCCAUUUAUUUCAAGACAAGAACCAAAUUGGAUAAAAAAACACAACUAUAAGGAUUCAAUUGGCAUAUUUUAAUCUAUAGGUACUAAAUUAGAAAGUGCAACUCCACGAACUAAAAUGAUAUUUAAACCUUUAAAGAAUUAUAAUAUCUAAUAUUGCUAUGUGGCUCACCCUAGGCAUCUGGUCGAGCUGGUUCUCCAAGCUGUUGGUGUCAAUAAUAGAAACGGCAACAACAGGAGUGUCUUCAUUGUUGUACAUCCACCAUGCAACACCAGUAGGCACUGCGAUCAAAUCACCCUCUCUGAAGUUAUAGAUCUUCUGGUGACGGUCUUGUGGUCUGCUGCUUUGUCCUCUUUGUUGAGGUUGUUGAGGCUCUUCAAAUGUGCUAGGACAACCCGGGUAUAUCAUGCCAAAAAUACCCUUACCUAUUCAUAUUACAAAACAACAAACAAACAAAAAUUAGGAACCCAACAUUAUCAAUGAUAUGAUUAUGUUACGUCAUAUGGAAGAAAUCAAAACAAAAAUUUUAAUAUAUAAAAACUCAAAACAAAAAAAAUUAUUAAAAAUCUAAAAUAAAAUUCCCUCAUUUAUCAAACCCUUAAACAUAUUUAAGUCUAUUAUAUAUUUAUAUGUGAAGUUUGGACAAGAUGGACCUUGUUGGAUGUAGAUUUCCUGGGGACCGUUGGUGUAGGAAGGUCUACGAAGGGCGUUGCGGUUGAGGGUGCAGCGAGAGAGGGCAACACCGGCACACUGGAAUGGCUUGUUGUUAGGGUUCCAUGUCUCAAUGAGCCCUCCUUCUGACUCUAUACGGUUAUCCGGUUUGAGGGCAUUGAGUUUUUGGAUCUGGCACUCGUUUUGCUGAGGCUGCUCUCUGGAACUGAAAGCGAAGCAGCAGCCACUGAAAAGCAGAAAACAAAGGGAAAAAACUAGCUUGGCCAUGGUGAUGACUGAUGAGUGUUUAAGGACCAAUGGAGAGAAUGUUUGAGUUGUGAAGCGGAGAACCUGAGGCGUGGUUAUUUAUAGGGAAGAGAGGAAGGUGAAUGAGGGACACGUCACAGAAGUAGGGUGCUGAGCUUGAGACAUUCUUCAGUAUGCAUGGCUAUGGAAGCCUUGGGUGCUACACCUCAUGAAGUUCAUGGUGUGAGGUGGCUUCGGCAUCUCAAUUAAGUGACAAAGAGAAAGGUGUUUCAGUGUUUCUAUUGCAAAUGGCAGAAACUCGUGAUGACGAGGGGACCAUGCAUGGUUUCAUUUCUUUUCUUCCUGGAUUCUUUCUUUCCUUUUAUAUAUGCAGGUUCAUAAUUUAAAAAUUAGACUCGCUUUCAAUUUCUUAAUUUCUCAUUUUCCUCUUAUAUUACUGUACUAAUGUUAACCACGUACACUUAUUUUUUUUUUAGUUUAAUUUUGAUAGAUUGUGUUGAUUUAAACAUAUUAAUAUUUUCAACCAAAUAAAAAUCAUUUUAGUAGAUACGGCUUUUUAAAUAAUUAUUAAAAAUAUUAACUAUUUAUCCUAAAUGGCACAUUUUAAUUAAAAAAAAUCCGGUGUUGUAAGUGUUUUAUUAAUUUGUUUUGGCAUUAUUAAAGCAACUUUUUUUUUAUUUGUUGGCAUUUUGAGUACGUACUUAGGCUACCUCCUAUAUGAAAGUGAUUGAGUUGUUUUUGCUUAUUAAAUGCCAUGCUUAAUAAGAACCUUUUAUGAAAGUUUGUGGUUAUUUUGAUUAAAUUAUAUCACAAUAAUAUUUAUAAAACAGAUAAAAGUUAAUGUCGAUGAAUGUAAGAGUGUCAAGUUACUUGUGGAGUCUAUUUAAUAAAAUUUUAAAGUUGUUGGUUUUGGUGAUAAAAGUUACAUAAUGUAAAAGGUAAGAAAUAAGUUAUAUAUAUAAAGGGUGAGACUACUUAAGAUGUGAAAAAGGUUGAGAGAAAAAAAAUAGAUGUUGAGUUGGAAAAGCUCAUGAUUUACUUCUUUGAAAAUAGAAAAAUAUAUAAAUAAUUAUAAUCGGAUUGAUGAUUAUUUAAAUAAAAUCUAAAAAUUGUGUUUGUGUUUUAUAAGAGAGAAUUCAAAUCCUCAAAGUACUUAUAAGCAUACAGCUACUUUUUCUUUCCUGUCAAUACUUUUUUUUUCUAUUCUUCUGUUUUUUAGUUCUUAUAUAUUAGUUUCUUCUCUCUAUAAAAUAAGGUGGAACUAGAUUGAUGUUUUUUCUAAAUCCCUAAACUUUUUUUCUUUCCUAUUUUGACGAGGUUUGUAAUUUUUGAAUAAUUUCCUUGUUACCAUUUUAUUUAAAGUUUUUGGCUGACAUUUUUCCUUUUAAAACUUGAAGCUUGUGUUGUUGAACCACUUUUAAAAAGAAGAAAAAUUAAUUACAGGUUUUAAGUGUUGUUUGUAUUGUUCUCCAAUUAAAAUUGGAGUUUAAUUUAAUCUACAUAUUUUUUUUUAGUACAAAUCUUGAGAUAAAUUUCAAUUCUAAUAACAGAACAUGACAAACAGCAUGUUAAGAACUAUAUUUAAAUUUUGUCCAAUCAAAAAACCCUUUUCUUGCUUAAUGAUGGAGCUAUAUAUUGUUCUACAUAUUUCAAGUUUCUUAUUCCAUUAUAGUACUACAUUGUUUAUUGAGAGAAGAAAUAUAUAGCACUAUAUAUAUUGUUAACUAAUUAUGAGCUAAAUUUUAAAAAGUGUAGAAUAUAUAACUUGUAGUCACCCUUGCGUGGUUCAAUCUUCAUCACUCCAUGCUCUGCAACUUGAAUCAAGAAACUGGUGAUUGGUGAAUGUUCAUCACUCUAAGCCCAAUCUGACAAACCUAGCUACGUGAUAAACUCACUCCAGCACGUGCUAAGGGAAGGAAGGUACUAUCCACAUUUGCAAGGUAACCUCUAAUGUGGACCCUGCAACUGAGUUUUGUACAUUUAGGACUCGCAGAGCCGGGGUACUUGGUCAGAUAAAAUGUGAGAGUAGUUCUCCAACAGCUGCACAAAGUAAAUUAUUGCUUGCUAUGCAACUUGUAGAUUUACUUGCUAUGCAACUUGUAGAUACAAUGCAGUAAUAUUACGAUAAGAACAAGGCCAAAAUGACAAAUAAUACUCCAAUCAGUUAAUAAUGUGAAGAACGUUACCUUUUUCAGAGUCCAAUGCAUCAUCAAUAUCACCAACCAACACAGAUGCAGAUCCCACAUGAGCAUGGCUGCAUGGCUCCUGCAUGCAUCAUACCACCUGUCACUUAGAAUGCAGCAUCGUGACAGUUGAACCCACCGUUACCCAUGCAACUACUUGGAUAGCAAACAAAAUUAAUUCUACCUUAUAAAAUCAUGGUCAAACAAUGAAAAAGUAGAAGCAAUCAUUUGUUGCUUCACCUUCACCAUGAAUAUAUUCAAAACACCCUAUUAAUUCCCCCUUGACCAUUAUUCCCAACGGAUUCAGUUAUGUGUAGGAGUUAGCUUGUAAGUUGUAACUAGAAAUGUACGUGUAAACCAUCUUGUAUAUAUGCCAUACCAGUACUGAUUUCAACUGACUGAAUGAAUAUACAACUUUUCUCUCCAAAUUUGUUAAUCAUAUUCACCUAAUAUGAGAAGAGGAGAGGGCUUGUGAGGAGCCCCAUUCAGAACUUGCACACGUAACUCCUAGUUGAAAUUUUAAAGUGAAAAUGCUAUCCAAUGAGAGAGUUUUAUAUGUUCUUUUAUUGAAUGCAAAUAAUAUCUGAAGAUGAAUGGGAUCCUUCACUAUAAUUGUACAUCAAUCUGUAUUGAAAACAUGGAAACAACACACAAUAAACUAAUAAAGUGUCCAAAAUGCACAACUACUGUGUCAAAGUAUGCUAAACUCUGUAUCUAUCCCAUCAAUAUUUUAAACCUAUAUUUCAGCUUUGCAACAUCAUAAUAGCAAUUCAAAUUUCCUCCCCUAAACACAAUUUUCAUUUUCAUCACACUCAGAAGGUCUUCACCAAAAAAGGACUCUGCUUCUACAUUCAUUUGUCAAUAUAUACAAGAAAUUCUUACGUGCUUCCAAAGCUAGAAUUUUCUCUUGAUUUAUACUAUUGAAUGUGUAUCACAUCAACAAGGUGGCCAUCACUAUCUGAGUCAAAUGCAUUAGUAGUGCUAUAUCUGAUGUGGUACACGUUUAUAUUAGAAAUACAGAGUAAGCGAUUUUCCUGGCACUUGUAGCACCUGAGAAUUUCUCUAGUCAAAAUAAGAGCAAACUGGAUAUAACUGAUUUUUCUUCAGAUCCAGCCUUUCCCUAUUUAAAUUGUUCAUGGUUUCUCUUGAGCUCAUCAGAGCUAGAAAUCAGAUUUUUGGAUGCAAUGGAUUUCAUCACCCAAUAACAACAUAAAAUUGAUCAAUUAAACCAUUAUAAGAGCCAUGAUUCUUGAAUUUCUGAUACGAAACGCUACACUACAUACUACUGCUAAGGAACUAAGAAGGAAACUAAUGGAGAUAAUUGUUCUGAUUGAUUCUUCAUUCCACUUUAUUUACAUAUUUAUACUAAUAUGCUAAUAGAAUGCAAUUUGUUGUAACAGAAUUAUCACCAUCAACGAUUCUUCAUUCCACUUUAUUUACAUAUUUAUACUAAUAUGCUAAUAGAAUGCAAUUUGUUGUAACAGAAUUAUCACCAUCAACAAACUAGUGGAAUGUUGUAACUAAUUAAUGAAGAUUUCUGCAACCAUUUAGUGCCUUUGUGCAUUUUGGCGCUCAAACGAAGUCCUGUAGGUAAGUGGCUUCUGUAUUGUGACCUGUGUGGUAUUCUACUGAAUUGCUAUCAAUUUCAAUCAUACCAACCAACGUAGCAUGUGAGACGUAAAGUGUAUAUGUUUGGUUUUUUCUCUUGCCCCCAUAAGAAUUUAGAUAUAGGAUUAAUUGUUAACAAUAAAUUUGCAGUUCACUUGUGCACAUGCUGCUUCAUUAUAGGUAGCGCUAAACCUCAAGUUUCAGGUAAAAAACGUGACAUGCAAUCCUCCUUUACAACAAGCAAGUGACAAAACACAAACUAAACAAACAAAGUAGUCAUUUCUAUAUAACUUACAAAACAAAACAUUAUUAUCAUAAAUAAAACUCAAACAAGAGUCCGAUUUUCUAAUCUGUACUCCAAUGUGCGCGAUUAGUUGUCUCCACACUCUAUGCACUAACAACAGUACUAACUUCAUCCCCUUCUCGCAUUAAUAAUAUAAGGAAGCGGAUCAAAAUGUGGGAACCACUUAAUAUUAUGAGAAACUAGCAUGAUCUCACAAGGAUGUUAUCACAAUCCUCGGGAUGGAAACUCCUGCCAAUUACACAUUUGGGCAAUGUAAAUCACCCGCAUAGAAGGACUAUAGCUUAUUACAAGAUAUGAACAAAGACAAGAUAAAAUGCGAAUUAGAAGAUACAUAUGCCAACUAUGCUUUGCUCAUUCGGUAUCUCGCUUGAAACUAGAUUCAGCAUUCUUCUCCUUCGUGCCAUCAUCUACUAUUUUAGUUUCAGCAAGACCAUCCACUAUUUUAGUUUCAGCAAGAUCAUCUCUCUCGCCCUCAGUUGCAUUGACUUCAAGAGUGUUAGACUUUUGGGGAAGCUUUCGAUCCAGAUUCUGAGCAGCUUCAGAUUCUUCAUUUUCGGGUACUUCAUUGGGGUUUUGAACAGCUUUGGCAUCAUGCUUGUCAGUGUCAGCAUUUUGAGGUUGUUGUGCCCCAGAACUUUGAGCAGCAUCUAACUCCUCAUAUUUAGAAACAAUCUGCUGCAGCUCGUCAUUGAGAUAUAAAGCCUCAAAAAGUGUUGCUUCAUCGUUUGUAGUGCUUUCCACUAUCCCCUUGAUGAUAGAGAGAGAUUGCUUGCACUUAUCCAACAAGCUCACGGUUAAAUCUUCCUACAGCCACACAAAAUUAUUGCAAAUUCCAUCAUCAAACAACUAUUCUGUCAGCAAUAUAGAGAAGAAAAUAAAGGGCAAAUACUUCUUCUAUAAACACUUACAAGAAAAGAAACUACAAAACAGAGUAGAUGAACCUUCUGCCAUAAGUUAAAAUCAACUUAUGCAUCUCAACUUUUGGAUAAGUUAAAUGAGAAUUUAUUCUACAGAAGUUGGAACGCAAAAGUUGAUUUUAACUUGUCAGAGAAGUUUAAUAUAUCUUAACUUUUUAUUUUCUUCUUCUCCUACAAGUACUUAUUGAAAAGUCUGUCCGAACAAGGCCAUAUAUAGCAAUUAUCUAACAGUAGUAGAUGGAAAGCAUGGGGAAAAAAAAAAAGAGGAAAAAGAAAGACUGGAUGCAUACAAAAAAACAUCAUGAUGAAGUAGUAUACAAAACACCAAUUUAUUAUUCGGGUAAUGUUGAUUUUCUCUAACAUCAAGAUGUUUACCUUCAAAGUUUUAGGCUCUGCAUCAGAAUUCAAUAUGCUAGAGAGCAAUUCGAGACUGUUUCGAGCAACCACAAGAUGCUCUUUCCUCUCUUCAACUGAUAUGUGUUGGUAAUUAGAAGAGAAAGCUGCUGGAUCAUCAAUAUCAUGUAGUUCAGCUUGAGGAAUUGGGUAUCUUUCAGGGGCAUCUACAUAUGACUCUGAGGCAUACGGAACAUGUGGUGAAUUUCCUCCCGCCAUGUCAACCGGUUCAUCCCUUCCUUUCAAACUCUGCCAUCAAAAAGAUAGGAUGAAGGAUUCAAAUAAAUGUGAAAGAGAAGGAUGCAAGAGAAUCUAUCACAGUAAAAUGUAGAAAUAGAAGGCAUUGCAUAAAGUGCAGAAAAUAAGUGAGAACAUGAAGCCCAAUACAAUUACAUUUCAAAAUCAAUAUUCUGUACAAGAUAAAAAUCCCCAGCGUCACCUGAGAAAUGAGUAUACCCCAUUUUAAUCAAUACUCCCUGAAUAUGCUGGGCGUAUUUAUAGCAGUCCCUGAAUUAGAAAAAUAUCAAAUAAAUUCCUAAAAUUUAAAAAAUUUAUUCGACAUUUAUCUAAUUUCAAGGACUAGUACGAUAGUGUCUCACAAAUUCAGGUACUAAAAUAGGAUUUACUAUGGGAGAAAGCUUCUUCUUUUUUUUUUUUUUUUGUCCAGACCACAGGUAUCAAGACAAGAGUAACAAACAAGUAAUCCAGUUAUGGCAAUAUCCUCAAUCAGUAAAAAUAAAUAAAUAAACAGACCAUAUAAGUUUGACGAAAGACGGGAAGAUAAGCGAGAUCCUCGGACUCGCCCCAGGCCCGAAUCAACUGAAAAGCCCGGCUGCGGGUCUGGUGAUGGGCCUGCGGGUUAUCGAUGAGGCGAAUGAUCUCAUCGAGAACCUUCUCGGAAGCGAUUUCGGAGAAGACCUUGUCGCAAUUCAUGGCGCAGGCUUCGAGGAGGUCAAGGCUGAGGGUCUGAACGACGGGGCUCUUGUGAUUGAUCUUUCUCUUGAUGGCCUUAACGACCUCAGAGCCGUUGAACUGGUCGCUGUUGAUCAUGCCACAGAUUCUGAGAUUCAUGCCCCAAUUGGGUUCUUCCAUGGUCUCCAGCGUGGCCUCGUCCACCAUCUUGGACUCCGGCGUCGGCGCCUGAAGCAUCUCCUUCACUUUUCCGCUCACCAUUCGCCCCAUCUGGGCCCCACCGGUCUUCAGCCUCUCACCCAGUUGCGCCCACUUCAACCGCUCCAUCGUGUAAGGAACCCUAACUAGAUCGGGUGAAAUGUGAGGAAAGUAAAAAGCUGAGCUUUGAAGAUUAUAAAGUGAACAAGUGACGAGAGACAAGAGGGGUGUGUGUGGUGGUGUCAAUAUACUGAUCAAUUGCUUGUGACACGUUUUUUUUAUUUUAAAAAAAAAAAAAUCAAUGCCGUAGACUGGGAUUUGUUUGUGGGUGGGAUUUAAUUAAUGAUAAUAAAUUAUGCAUUUAACUCAUUUUCACGUCUUUUUCUGUCUCGCCCUAAAUAUUUUAAUCAUGAGUUGAAUUUGUCACGGUUUCAACUUAAAAAUUUUCACGUCGAAUCUAACCAAUACAAAGAUUGUGUUAGGUGUCUUCUUAAGAAGAUAUUUUUGACAAAUUGAUGUAGGGAUUAAUAUUUUAUUUAUAUAUAUAUGUCUGAUUUUUAUGUAAUCUUCUUAUAUAAGCAAGACUUAUUUUAAAAAAUAUAGGUAUUUUUGUAUUAAAUGAUUUGUCUUUUGACAUAUAAUAAAUAAAAAUUCUAAAAUAAGUUAAUAUAAUAAAGAAAUUGAGUUAUUAUGUAAUAAAAUAUGUAUUGAUGUUAGAAAUGGGACUCUUAUUAUUAUUUAAGUUUAUUUAAUUUUUUUUUAUAAAUGACUAUAAAUUAUCAAAACAGAUUUAUAAGUUUUCAAUUAUUCAUCACAUGUCCAAAAUAUUUUAUCAAAGAAAAUAUAAAUAAAAUCAAUUUAAUAUAAUGAAAUUGAUAAAUCAUUGAUCAAUUAAGUUAAAUGAACUUAAUUUUUUUAUAGCAACUUUACAUCAUUAAUAUAUGCAAUAACAUAAUGUAUAAUUAAUACAGGAUAUUAUAUAUAUGUAAAAAAAUACGUGAUGAAUUAUAUUUUGAAGUUUAAAAAAAUGAAAUUUUUUGUUGUAAUAUGUUUUUGAUAUGAAAAAUAUCUGAUUAAUUUAAAAUAAUAAAUCAUUAUUAAAGAGUACACAUAUAAAAAAUAAUAUACUAAUAAAUAUCAAAAAAGUAGAUAAGCAAUUCAUAAUAGAAAAUAGAAAAAAUAACUUCCCUUAAAUUUGAAAGACUUUUCGAUAAAUAACAUAUCAAGUCAUAUUUAAAUUAUCUCAGUUAUUAAUAAAAAUAUUUCGGUUAAUAGGUUUUCAUUAAAAAAGAUAUGAAAUAUUUUAUUAUUAACAAAAGUAUUUUCAUUAAUAGGUUUUCAUUGAUAUAUCUUCAUUACCAAAAUAAUUUUUUGUCAAUCAUAUUUUUAGGUUAAAAUAUAUUUUCCGUCUCUAUAAAUAUCAAAAAAUCCAAAAUUCAUCCCUAUAAAAUUGAAAUGUGUGUCUUUUUUUGGUUUGGAAUUAAGCUUUGGUGAAUAUGAGCCUACAUGGUUUAAAACUUAAAUUAUAAGCUAAAAUAUAUUUUUCAUCCCUAUAAAUAUCAAAAGGUUCAAAUCCAUCUUUAUAAAAUUUUGAGUCUUUUUUUCAUCCUUGAAAAAUUGAAAUUUAUUAUUUUUGGUCGGAAGUAGGUUCAGAUUUACUCAGUUUGAUCGACGACAGUGAUUUAUGGGGGUUAAAAUCACCACAAAAUGUAAAAAGAAAAACCCACACAUUUGUAAAUCUCUCCUCCCUAACUUUCUUCAUCUUCUUUGUCCACCAAGCUAAUAUGAGAGAGAUGAAUUUGAGAGUUUGUUGACAAUGUUUGAUUAUGAUAGAACACUUGAAUUGAUAUUUAUAGUGUUAAGUUCGAGAAUGAAGGUGUUAGGCUUUUGGAAGGAAGAAAAAUUUAAAAAAAUUAUUUAUUUAAAUUCGAAGAAGAUAAAGAAAGUUAGAGAAUAAUGAGUUUAAGAAAUAAAAACUUAUAAAUUUGUGUAAUUUUUUUUUUCUGGAUUUUGUGAUUAUUUUUAUUCCCAAAUUUCACUUUUUUGAGAACCAAAAAAAACUCAAUUUUACAAGAAUGAAUUCUAAACAUUUCAAUAUUUAUAAAGAUAAAAAAAUAUAUUUUAGCAUAUAAUUUAAGUUUUAAAAAAUUCUCAAAUUCGUCUUAGAUCCAGACCAAAAAAUAACAUAUUUAAAUUUUAUAAGGAUGAAAAAUAUAUCAUAAAAAUUACACGGAUUUCAAAUUUUCUAAUAUGUAUAAGAACGAAAAAUAUAUUUUAAUAUAUUUUUAUUAAUAUAAUAAUUUUAUUUUAUCAUUAUACUAUAAAGAUACAAUCAAAUUUGUUUAUUUAAACGUAUAUUAUCCAUUAAUACCAUGCCAUUUAUAAUUAUAUUUGUAUACUUAAAUUUUAAAUUUAUUAAUGAUUUUAAUUAUGGUGGAUUAAGACAAAACAUCAAAAAAUAAUUAAAAAAAUGUAAAACAAAAUAAAUACAACAUCCAAAACAAAUUUUCCAAAAAAAAAACAUAUAAAACGGAUUAAAAUCUAAAUAAUAUUAAUGAAUAAAAUAUAAUAUUUUACAGAUUCAUAUUACACACCACGUAAAACAUAAUAAAUUUUUUAAAAGAAUAAUCUUAUCUAAUAGACCCAAUAAUUUUUUAAAACAUGAAUAAAUAAAAGAAAAAGAACUAAUGUGUUAUUAACUACUGAUUGAUUGUAAUAUGAACUCAUUGAUCUUUUGCCAUUUGUGUGUUUAAUCAUGUGAUAAAAUAACAAAAAAAGAAUUAAUGAAAAAACUCAAAUGAAUGUAAAAAAAAAAAAACUUUGAACUUUUCUCCCUGCAAGUACGACACCGAAAACUUUGAAUUUUUCUCCCUAUUUGAACGCCUUUAUCACCUCCUCUUCCAUUUCUGUCUCUUGUAAUGAAUAAUUCACACCAAAACUCAAUGAACAUACCAUUGUUAAGUAUGAUCCUAUAAAAAACCAACAACAAACUCAAUUACCGAUAAAAGCACAUGUUUAAAUAGAAUAAGAAUAAUAUAAUAUUAGAAAUUAUUAUUCUCUAUUCAACUUCUAAAACGUGCAUAUUAGAAUAUAGAAAAUUACCUAAUUAUAUGAAUUAAGAGUGUAUUAAAUGUAUUUUAUGAAUUAAAACUGUUAAUUUUUAUUAUUGAUUAAAACUGCUAAUUAAUAUAUCAUUAAUGUAAAUAACUAAUUUCUCUAUUAAUGUGAAAUUACUCUUCUUUAAAAUAAAAAUAUUUUAUUUACUUUUUUUCCCAUACAAUUAUUAAUUUAACUCCCAUUUAUGAGACAAAAUAAUAUUUACAAAAAUGUCCCCAACUCACUUUCUUUUAUAUAUUAUAUAUAUAAAGAUAUGUAAAAAAAAUCUCAUCCUUCUCCUUUUAUAUAUAUAGAUGCUAACUUCUCAUUUUCAGACACAAUUUUUGAAUAUACUUUUUUAUCUAUUAAAGUCUAUUAAAAUAGUAUAUUUUUAUGAAUCUUAUUUUUUAUUUAACUUUUUUUUUUAAUUUUAUAAAUUUAAAUAAAUUUUUACACGUUAGAAAAAAUGUGUAAUGUUUUCAUAUACUAGUAAUCACAACGGAAAAUAACGCUUCAUUUCAUCAACGGAUAAAAGUUUUGUAGAAAUUGAUUUCCUUUGUAUACACUUAUGGUUUAAUUAUAUUUUUGGUUUUGAAAAUUAAGGGUGCAUUUAAUUUUAGUCUCUUAAAUUUAAAAACAAAUAUUUUGGUCUUUUAAAUUUAAAAAGUUACAAUUUUCAUCCCUCAAAGUUUAUUUUGGGUUUUGUUAUGUCCUAGUGUUAGGUAACUUGUUGUGAGCGAGAGGAUGAAGAUGAACGCAUUGGAUUCGAGGUCAAGGCACCUCCUGAAAUAAACUAAGUUCUACGCAAAUGCUUCUCUGAUUUUAUUCAUGUAUUCGAUAUCCUAUUUAUACACUGCCUUUUGUAACAGAUUAUAACAUAUCAGUAACAAACUUUGUAGGCCAAAAUCACACCAAGUCCUUCAAAUAGGUAGGGCGCGCAGUGUUUCUCUUGGGCCUUCCAGCAUGGGCUUCAGGUAAUGUGUUGAUCUCUUCUACGUUCCUGUUGCUGUUGCUGUUGCUGUUGCUGUUGCUAUCAUAACUCAGGUUUAAGAGGGAAGGUGUGUACCUGCAAAAGGCAUUCUAGUUUUCAACCCUGAAGUUGUAAGGUUUGCACUGGUAUAGUGCAGGCAUCAAAGAUGCAUAGAUGAGUGGUUAAAAGUUAAAACCCUUUAUUUGGCAAUGAGUGGUUGAUCCACUGUUUUACAGUUGUACACGUACUUGCUUUUUCUGUAUUUUUUAGCAAUUUAUUCCAACAUUAGCACUUAAAAUACCCUAGUUGUAACUUGUAAGCCUUUUCAUCUAUAGAUUGGUUUAAUGAUGUGAAACAGAGCUAUAAAGUUGAAGGAUGUCAACUUACAUAUAAAGAGCUAAGCGACUUCAUUUAUAAGACUGUCCUGCUGAGAAAGUUGACUUACUUGCACCGGAGUGAAGGAGACCAGGUGGCUUCUACUAGUAUUGGAAAAACAGAAACUCUUCUUGUUCGGAAAUUACCAAUUGCAGAUCCAAAGUAAUCAUACUCAUUGUGCAACAGUUCUUUGGAUUGUAGAAUUGUUAACUGCUAUUGUGAGUUGGCUGAUAUGGUCCAUUUUAUGCUUAGGAUGUGUCAUUCUCCUGAAAUGCAAUAUUUAUUCCUUGCUUUUCAUAUGAAAAAUCUUUAAACAGAUGCUUUUCUCAUCUUGAUUUCAUAUAUUACAUAAUAAUUGAAUCUAGAGUUUAUAACUGUUGAACUCAGAAAAUAAACACAUUGAAUUCUGAAUAAAUCAUAGAAUCUAUCUGUUUUUUUGGCCAAAUUUAAGUGCAAACAUCAACAAACACAAGGUUUCCCCCUAACAAGUAACAAGGAGUUUUCUCCUUCAAAACACCGUAAAUAACAAUUUGACACCUUAACCGCCACAUCCUAAAACAAAACUGCCAAUACAUAAUUGAAACCAACAUAACUGCCUAAUAACUGUCCUAAUGCAGAAUUAACACAAACACAGCUACCUAAUAACUGGCUGUCAAUUUUUUAUUGUAACAAAAGGAUUGAUUUGUGUUAGCAAGUUAGUAUAUUGAUAUCACAUAUAGAUUUGACUGUUUGUAAGUUACUAAAAGUCUCUCAUUUUGAGAAACUCCUACCAUGUCUUAGUUUGAGCACUAGUUUACUAUGAUUUAUCAGUUCUGAAGUUAAAAUUUAAAACAUAAGGUGGUUCUUGCCUAUGAUGAUUUAUAUUUUAAUCGUUGUAAAGCUCCAUUUGAGGCUUUUGGUCUUGCAGAUGUUACUUUUUUAAAAAAUAUAUAUGGUAGGUGGCACCAACAAUGUGAUAAACUUCAUGCUUAUGCCUGUGUUAUUUGUAGAUUUUUUUAAAAUAGGUUUUCUUUUUACAUUUUGUAAUCUGGUCGGUGAUAUGGUCUAUGGAUGGUAUAAUGAGUUCUGAUAAUCCUCCCCUUCCUCUCCCAAAAAAUGUUGUUGACUGACUAUCAGUUUGCAAAUUUAGAAAUCAUUGCUCACUUCUGUUUUUUAUUUUUAUUUUUAGACUUCCACUAAAAUUAGAGAGAUUUUGACUGACGAUUGAAUUUUUCAAAUGGUGUUCAUCAAUCAAUGCAAUCUCAAAUGCUGUGCAUGUUUCUUUGACAGGCAUGUUUUUGUAGGAGAUUUAGUGGUCUUGAAAAACCCUCUGAAGGCAGAUAACUAUCUUGUCAGGCAAUUAACUGUAUUGAAGGUUAUGAAAUGGUAUCAACUGAUGAAAAGGAUGAACCCUUUUUUUCUUGAGAAGGAUCAGUGUUGGGUAGAUGCUGAAAAUAAAAGUUUAAAACCCAAGGUAAGACUGCUCUAUUUUCCUGGUCUCUCUAUAUAUGGAGCAUAUCAAUUGGCAUUAGCAUUUUAUUGCAAGAGAGAAGCUAAUGCUGAUUAUUUAAGAAGUUUUAUAUAGUAAAAUAUCAUGACACCAAGCAAUAAGUUACCAUUGACGUACAAGUAUACAAGGUUACUUGUUGGAAAAUAAAACAACAGCUUUCUGUUUUUAAAAUAAUUAAAAUUAGGCAUGAUUUGGUAAUUUAAUGAUAUUGAAAACCUCUGGAAUUCCAAAUACUAAUGUUUUUCUUUCUCUCUUUUUAGUUUUCUUCCUUUGUCUCUUUAAUUAUAUUUUUUUUCUCUACUAAUAAGGAUAUUAAAUCUGUGUUACUUCUUUACCAAAAACUCUGUUAAACUCAUGGGGUUUUGUGCAUGUGUCGCUCUUACAUGAUUUAUAAAAGGACAACAUGGUGUCAUUUGAUCUAUGUAGCCAAUCCCCACCUAAUGAAAGAAACUUUUGCUGCUGUUGUUAUUUUGUUUCCUCAACAUCUAGCUGCUUUGAAAUUGUGUAGUAUCUGUAAGCUCUAAAGUCUAAGGUGAAUGUCUCCAUAAAGACUAGUCGAUUAUUUGGUCCAGUUAAUAUGACAGACAUUGUAGGCAGAGUCAUAUAUCGCCUGCGAACCUGUGUAGAGACCAUCACUGUGUACGGAACAGGUGAACUAAAUUAGUAAAUUUCUAUCUUAUUUCUUAUGUAAAAUGGUAUGUGGAAGGUUUUUUUUUUUCUUUAAAAAAAAUAUUGAUAUAAUUUACUCCUUUGCCAGUCAUUCCAGCAUGCUAAAGGAUUGGCCCGUGUUGGCAGUGGAACUUGAUGUUGAGGAGAUGUCAAAGAAUCACAAGGCCUAGGCCUGUUUGGUUUACAUUCCUGUCAACCCAAAUGGGAAAACGUGCUUCCCAUGAAUGCACUUUUCUAUCAAGUGAAUCACAACAUAUACUUAUGUCAAAACAAGCGAAUCUCCUGAUCAUCAUUAACUAGAUAGUUUUGUACGUAUCCCCUGUUUGAGGCAGAGCAAUAAUAGGAUGUUACUUUUUUGCAAGAGAAUGUGAUGGUGGUGUUAUCAGUUGUGUGAUUUCUUUAAUUUAUACAUAUUAGAUGUUUGACUUUUUCUUUAAAGCCCAAGGAUAAAUUGCUUGUUUGAUGUAUAAAUAGUAAUAGUAUAUUUUUCUAUAAUAUAUAUCGUUUUGUUAAGCUUAAUAUUUUAUCAAUAUCAAAUAAAAAAAAUUGUACUUCAUAUCUUAAAAGUAAAAAAGCAUGCGAUUCUUUACUUUUUUAAAUUUUGUAGUGUAUGCUUGGGAGAAUUUAUUUUCAACAAAUAAUGGCUUAUAUUUUGGUUUUUUUUAUUAUAAUAAGUUAUAUUAAACUUGGGAGUAUGAGAUAAAGUUGUGUAUGUAUAAAAAGUUGUCUUUGAAUAAGCGUUACUUUUAGUUGAACGUCAAUCUAGUAUAGGAUUCAGUUGAACGUGCAUUAGAAAGUGUCUUAAGUAAAACAAACACACUAGUGUGUGCUUAGAUUGUUGUGUGAGAGGUACCAAAUGUUCAUUUGUGCAUUUCAAUGCACAAAAGACAAGUAACAACUAACAAUACUAUUAGAUUAAAUGUGAGUUAUAUUCAACUGAAUGGUUAUUCAAACACACCUCAAGCGUCUGUUUGGAAUUAGAGACGAAUGGAUGUUUGCCAAAGGAGUCAUUUGUAUCUUUCUUCCAGCAGGUUUGGAGGUGUGUGAAUGGUUUUUAAAACAUGUUUUUAAAUCAUUUAUUGUUGACUAACUAAAAGAUAUUUCUGACUCAACCACUUAGGGAUUAUAGAUAUUUCAUUUGGUUUAAUUUUUUUUAGACUUAAUUGUCCUUAAAAUGGAAAAUUGAGUUAAUUAGAAUGUUUAAAAACUAUAAACUUUUAAAAAUGUAAUUUUUAAAAGAAUAUAUUUUAAAAAAAUGUUUUUGGAAAAGCCAGUUUCAAGAUUUUUUUUAUACUUUUAUUUCUCCCCUUAUUCGAAAACAUAAAAUCUAAAAGAAAAAUGACUGUAAUUUAACUACUUGAAAGGAUUAAAAUGAAUGUUCCACACUUUCACUCGUUUUUUUAGGCUUAAUGAUAAUAACAAAGAAAAAUAAAAGGUUCCUGCCCGAGCGAGAAUUUCAGUUGGUCCCUGAUGAAAAUAAUGAUUCCCGAGAAUGUCCCUUAUAUAUGACUAUGGGACACGACACGGGUAACUAGCAACAAGAAAAAACCUGCGACUGCUAGUGAGUGCAAAUUGAAGCAAAGGUUGCUGCAACCGCCGUUGAGUGAGGGCGGUUGGGUUACGAUGUUGCAAGCAAUGCAUCUGAUGAUGGCCAACACUUACAACGUUGCCGGUGAGCGUCUUUCUCUGUCACCUUCAUCCUUUGAACCAUACCAUAACCCUUCUUCACUCUCUUCUUUCAUUUUCCUCCACUCUAGCCUUUAGGUUUUUUUUUUUUCCUUAUGUUUCUUUUCAGUUUGCCUCCUAUGAUAGCUAGCUUUUGAGACAUGGAUCGUUUUCAGCUUCUUUUUCCGUCAUGAUUGAAAAAAAAUCAAACUGCUGUUCUGUAAAUAACCACUCUGCAAUUAAAUUGUGCCAUUUUACUGAAGCACUAGUAAUAUAUAUCCUGGAUCAUACUCUCUAUCCGCUACUGAGAUAAACUUGAAAUCAUGAUCAUUUGAAUUCCUAAAACAAUUGUGAUGUAUGUAUCAUUGCUCAAUUCAGAGAUUGAUUACUUAGUGCCUUAUCCUAGGUUUCUAUGAUGGAUUGUGUUGCUUUCUGUCAUACAUAAAUAAGGACAAAACUUAGAUGCAGUUCUACAAGUGUUUUUUGUUGAUGUUGUCCAAUUAGAAUUGGAGUUUCACUUCAGUAAUUCGGGUAUAAAAAGGUUUUCAAUAAAUGUCAAAUAGAUUACCAAGGUGGAACUCCAAUCCUGAUUGAAGAACAACAGCAAAAGUACUCAUGGAAUUGCAUCUAAGUUUUGUCCAAUAAAUAUGGCUAUAUGUUUAUUAUAUUUUUUCUGUUCAUUUUAUUUUACUUCUCUCUUUAUGGUUUUUGAAGUGGUUUUGGUCAUACCGUGGGAUGUGGAGUGGCAGAAGGUAGGUUUCUUCCAUGUUUGGGUGUUUCUGGAAGAACAGCUUCUGUGUUUUCUUGCUCCUCUCAGGGUUACCACAGAAUUCAUUCACAUGUCACAAUUAGAGGGCUAAAGUGUUCUUCUAGGGGUGCAUGUGCAUCUUUUGUGUGUGAAGCGAGGAGGAACCCUGAAUCUUUCUCUAGGCAAAACAAGCAUGGAUUUUCCAGAAGCAGGAAGUGGCUCAAUGUAGACAGAGACAGCUUUGAGAACAUUGAAAAAGACAUGUUAUCAUUGAAAAAUGGUUCAUUGGUAUCUCAUUCUAGCACACUAAAAAACCAUGCCAAUGCCAAUGCUGCCCCUAGGCCUAAAGAGAAGGAGAUUAUUACACUGUUUAAGAAGGUUCAGGCUCGGCUAAGAGAGAGAGCUACUACUAUUAAGGAAAUAAAGAAAGUUGAAGCAUCCCAAGCACAGUCUAAAUAGAAUGGUUCUGUUAAUUCUCUCCUCAAGCUACUGAGGAAACACUCAGUUGAGCAAGUAAAGAGAAGUAGUGGUGUUAACAGAGGGGAAAACGAUAGUUUGGACUGGUUGCAAGAUUGUGGUCAAGACAAUGAAAGUCAAAGCACAAAAUUUCCUGAUUUAAAUGGUACUCCUAAUAAUGAGUCUCAAGAAACUAACAUUUCAUUAGUUAUCAGGCCUCCAUCUAAUUUCCAACGACGGUCUUCUUUUUUUCGGUUAAAGUAUCAACCUGUCUCUAACGACGAUAAGGAUGUGAAUGCAGUCCCCUGAGUAAUGUGGUUACAGAGAAAGAUCAGGAUCAAAUCGGCAUCAAGCUUGAUCCUGAGCCAGAGCAUGACUCUGAACUGGAACUUGAUCCAAAGGAUAAGCCCUUGUUCCCCGAAGUGGGGAUUGCGAUUUCACAUGAUGAUGAUUAUCUUGAUUCUGAACAAAUAUAUAAUGAUGAACAUGGGGAGGACCAACAAGUGGAACAACAUGAGGAUUUGAGUACAAUGAAGCUGUCUGAACUAAUGGCACUUGCGAAGUCUCGUGGCCUCAAAGGGUUUUCAAUAAUGAAGAAGAGUGAGCUCAUGGAGUUGCUAACUGGAAGCUGAUUUGGACCAUAAGUUAGAGAAGCAAAAUCAAGGAACAACAGAUUUUACCAAUAUCUGUUUUUUACCUGUGAAUUUAUCUGGUUUAUUUUUUCAUCGUUUUUAAUUUAAUUCCUUCAAAUACUUGAGGGUUUGUGGAUCAUUAAAUAGAAUAACCAUGCUAUUAUUCAGGCCUCGGAGGAUUUUGAAUUUGUAACUGUAUUCCCACGAUGAGAUUUUUGAAUUUUUUUUUACUGAUUAAAAGUACACCAUUUCAGUAUGAUAAUGCUUCGGGACUAUUAAUCAUUGUUAACCGUAUUGUAUAGCUAUAAUCCUUAUCAGGCCAUUGUUAACCAUUUUGUUUACAUAUCCAGCAAAAAUAAAUAAAUAAAUAAAUGUAGUAAUACUUUUUUUUUUAUCAAUUUUUAUUUUUUGAAAAUAAUUAUAUUCCUUAAACAAAAACGAACAUUGGAUCUGAAAGCUAUAUAGCUUAGCAAAACAGGACCGAACGGACUACAUGGGUAGCAAAAUAUUUAUGACAAAAGGGAUCUAUAUAUGCUAUUCAUAAUCCCUUUUUGCUCUUCACACUCUCCAUUUUCUAUUUUUUGUUUUUUGAUAUUCCUAAAAUAUCACUAUUCCCUCUCACUUUCCUACCCUCACUUUUCAUAUAUAUUACAGAAAUUAGUCUCUCUAAUAUAGUUAUGUUUUAAUAAAUUAUUAUAUUACGAAAAUUAAUUUCCAUAAAAUGUUUUUUGUCAAUUUUUUUAACAGAAAAAUAGGUAGGCAACACAAAAAGCAAAAAAGUGGGGUGUAAAUGACACAAACCCAACAAACAAGGCCGAAACUAUUUCUGAGUAGUUUAUUUUAACAAAGCUCUCUUUUCCCCUGCAUCCCAAAAAUCUCAACCUACAUCCCUUUUCACCCCCUCAUAGUGGAAAGAUUAAUUGGAAUGAAGGUUUUACAUUUCAAAUUACCUAAAAGAUUGUUAGGGUGAAAGAAAAAUAAAUUAGAAAAGCUCACUUACAAAAAAGAUGAUUAAUUAAAAUUAGGAGCUCAUAGUUUUAACUUCCCACUUUGUUUUCCUUCGUUUAAAAAAAGUUGUCCUUCAUCGCCAAAAAAAAAAGAUGUUUUCCUUCUUUUAGGAGACAACAUCACGUUUGGCUUGCCUGCAUAGUGCUUAUGCUUGCUUCCAAUAUAAACAUUUUCCUUAUCACCACUUAAUAUAGCAGUCACCAAGUGCCGCUAAAUAGAAAAGGGAAUAGAAUAUUCACAAUUCACAUGCAAGGGGUCCCCAAUUUGAAAGUUUAGCCGAAGAAGCUUGUGAGUUGGUGGCCGCUGAUUCAGUAACUUGGACAUUAAUUUCUUUAGUUUUUAAUGUGUGUUGUUUUAUCAAAUUUAAUCACUCACAUGGGGGAAGGAAGAGAUGGGGAAACAAAAUCCCUCUAUUAUGCAAACCAUGACGUAUACGGCAAACAAGAUAAGCAAUAGUUAAUAUGUAAUCCAAUCUAAGGCGAGCAAGGAAGAUCUCAUUUGUUUAGCUUGAUACCGAUUGACUUUGAGCUUUUUGAGGGAUAAUGAGGGGAUACAAUUUUAACCCAAAAAAGAAGGGUAUAGCAAAAGCAAAAGAAAAUACGUAUCACACAUCUUUAAAAAUCACAUCUCGUAUCUAGAGUAGGUGGUUCAAUCAAAACGUAAUUAUGUAAAAAUCACGAAGAAAAUGUAUUGAUAACUUUGAGUGUUUUUUUCUCUUAGUCAACACUCUUGCUUAUUGAAAAAAAUAAAGGCUUAUAAAUUAUAGGAGGGGUUGAAAUCUCAUGUCGUCUAAUUCUUUUUUUAUUUUUAUCAACAAAUAAAAAAUAUAUAGAUGUAUAGGAUAUAAAGGGUGUCCAAAACCCAAGCGAGAAUGACCAAUAUCUGAAUCACAUAACACUUUAACAUUAUUUAUUGGAUAGCGAGAAUAAUCAAUAUCUGAAUCACAUGAUAUUUCAACAUUGUUUAUUGGAUAAUAAAAUGAUUACCACAUCAGUUUAGUAUAAUGAUACAGUUAAAAUAUUUUUUUUAUUGGUAAAUAUUAAUUUUUAUUAUAAUACUAAUAGAAGAUUUAAACUUAUAACUUCUCUUUAUUCUUCUUGCUUCAACCCUUAAACCUUUCUUCAUAAUCAUCAAAUCAAUCUUAUAACUUUUAUAUGACUAAAAUAAAGUAUAACUGAAGCGCAAACCUUACCUUAUAAGCCAAUUUUAUAAGGUUUUACAAUCAUAACUCAUAAUUCUAAUAUAGUAUUAGAGUCUAUUCUAAUGAGUAUCAUUAGACAUUCUAUGUUACUUGCUAUCGAACUACUAUUAGACCUGUAUAAGUCUAGUUUAACAAAUUUUAUGAUUGACAUGUCUAAUUCUCGAUAAGAGAAAUUGUGUUGGAAAUCAUACAUCAAUAAUGAUGAGACAAAAAAUAAUAUAUAUACAUGAGUCAGAUGUCUAGUUACUCAUUAAAUAAUUAGUGGAUUAAGUGUUCAUUUAACUAUGAGUUAUAUGUUUUUAAAAUUAAAAAAUUUAAAAAUAGUUUGUGUGUGCUAAGGAAAAUAAUUUUAUCAUUAAUAAUAAUUCUAUUCAAUUGAAAGAGUGUUUAUCGUGAAAAAUAUAUGUAUUCUUAAAAAAAAAAUGUAAGAAUGAUAUAAAAUCCAAUAUAUAAAGUACAUUAUAAUUCUUCCAAGAGUAUGGACUUUGGUGUGACUUUAUGAGGAUGAUAUAACAAAAUAACAAAUAGAUAAAGCUGCUGUACAUCAAUGGUUAUAAUGAAAGGAAUGAUUAUUUACAGCUAUGGGUAAGAUAUACGAAAGAAAAAAGGAAGUCUACGAUUAUUACAGCUAUGACAAUAAAUAAAGCUCGUAAAAACAAAACAAAAGUCCAAGAAUAACCAACGGGUCUAAUUAAGUUGACAUGUAUGACUUUAAUUAAGUUCAUAAACAUUUACUAUGUGCAUAGCGAACAAAGAAAUUGUGUAGCUGAUCACGACGACUGAUACAUAAUACAAUAUUGUUUUGACUUUGGAUAAAAAAAAACAGAUAUGAUACAAGUAGGUUAAUAUCCAAGAAGUGCUACGUACUUUCCAAAUCUUUCUUUGGUAUAGUGUGACAGUGAUGUAAUGAAAAAGGAAGAGAUAAAUAAAAAGAAAAUAAGGUAAAAACGAAAUAGAAGAAAAACAUGAGCGAUAUGUUUAUAACAAUUAGCCCAUUAGUAUAUAUAAAUUGCUGUUAAAAACCCAUUAGUAUAAGUCUUGGAUAAAAAAUCUUAAUUGCAUAGAGCCACUUUGUCCACAAUUUUAAUAAAGUAGUUAUGUAAAUAUCAAACUUUAUUAGCAGUUUUUUCCACGACUUUGACGGUCUUCACAAUUACUACUCAUUGUACUCAAUGUUUCAAAACCACAAUGCUUAUGGUUGGCACUUCCUAAGAAUUUAAUGAGUGAUAGAAACCUUGACUUGGAGUUGGAGCUGGCUAAGCACUGCCUAAGAAUUUAACGUUCUCUAACAGAAUUGAUAUGAAUCAAAUGCAACACAAAAGUUCUCAAGACACAAUAUGAGAAUCAUUAGAAGAUAUAAGGUUAAUUUUGUGGUUAAAAAAAGUAAAAAAAAAAAGAGAAAAAAAUGUUGUAAAUUCAAAUGUCGUAACUAAUAUUUUUAACAAAAUUAAUAAAUUAAUAUUUAUGGAUAAAAAAAUAUUAUGAGUUAUUUUGCCUUAAUUCAAAGCAUAGUGGUUAAAUAAAUCGGAGCGGAACAUAGUCAAGAAAGUUGUUUACGUGGGCCUGUCAAUCUGAUUCAUCUAAUUCAAAGCAAAAGAAAUGGCAUCUUAUUAACAUUGGCAAAUCUUGAAAAUGAUCAAUUGAAGGUUACUGACAGUACUACAAUGACACCCCAUUUGUGAUUUGUGGAGAAAAAGAAAAAUUCAUGUCAUGGAAUGGUGUUGGUGUUGGCUCACAUGCUUACCACAAAUGUCACAGGCACAGCUGAAUGUUUAAAUGUGCUCACGGAGGGAGGGUCAGAUCUUCUAUUGCUAUUGGCUUGGAUCCAAAGGACGAUUUGGUUAUUGGUACAAUUCAAUAUAGCCAGCAAAGAUUGCCCCAAUGCAAGUCCCCAACUAAGUAAGCUAGCAUUGCCACUCAGCUCAAUGGUACUAUUGAUGUUCCCUAACUGCACUAUUGCAUCAAAUGGAAGAGUGUAGACCGGGUAGUAGCCUAGUCCUUUUUUGCUAAUGAAUUCUGAGUUUUAAUGGCUUACCUAACCCUUUUUUUCUUUUGGUAGACCUAGCUAGCCCUUCUAUCCAUAAGGACUUGGCUGAAUGGCUGGUGAUUUUAGGUAGGUCACGCUAGUCACAUGGUUCAAGUGAUGCAAUGAAAAAUGGAAAAAGAUAAAAAUGAGAUGAAUGAUAAUAAAAUAAAGGUUCAAAUAUAUUUUUCGUUUUUAUAAAAUUAUAUAUUUUUAUAAAAUUAUAAGUGUUAUUUUUUUUUUCUGGAUUAAAGUUAGUAUCCAAAUCCAUAAUGAUGAUUUAUACAUAUAAUCAAUGUAAAUGUAAUAUUUUCUAUAUCAAUUAUGUAUGUAAUCAAUCUAAAUAAACAUUUUUUAUAUCACUUAUAUAUAUAACUAAUGUUAAAAAAUUAUACAUAUAAAUUUAGAUAUAUACGAGGAUAAAAAUUAUCUUUUAGUCUAAAAUAAAUUACGAAUUUAAUUUCUUUAGUAUUAUUAUUUAUCUUUAAGUAUUCCUUAAAAGUAAUGAAAUAAUGCAAGUAAUUGUUAAAAUAUUAAAUAUCUAUUAUUUCAUUCCUUAAGUUGAUAUAUUUUAUUAAAGAUCGUGAACUAAUUCGAAAGAUUUUUCAAUACUUAAAAAAUUACUUAUGAUGAUUUUAAAUACCUAAAGGAUAAUGUAAUUUCUUAGGGACUGCUACCAUAAUCUAGAUACAUAUGAUAUUAUCGUCUUUACUUUUGUAAUUUUUUAAUUCAGAAACUUUUAUUUUAAGAGAAGGUAGUAUUUUGUGGGAGAGAUUAUAGUUUAUUCAAAAGAAUACGAAAUGUAUGUUUUUAAGCACUUAAUAGAUGAAUAAUACUUUAGAUAGAUCUGCCUAUAAAUGCACUAUUCUUGACUUAUUUUAUUUUAUUUUUGGGUGAAGUGCGGAGUGAUAUUCUCUAAUGAUGAAUGGCCUAUAUUACAAAUUAUUUUAUAUGUUGUUUGAAUAUUGGUUUUACAAUAUUUUUCACUCUUUGGUAAGAUAAUAAAUAUCCCUUCCUUCAUAGUGUUGAACUUGUUUCUCCUUACACAAAAAUGACACUAUUGGUUUUACAAUAUUUUUAAUACGACUUUAAAGGAAUUAUUAUGAAAUUAAUAAAUAUAUCAUUUAUGGCAGUUUUUUUUAACAUGUUUAGACAAUUUUUUUAAAUUUUAAUUGUUUCUCUUUCAUAACCAGCUAGUUCCCCUCUUUUUGUCACAGGAAUUGAAACUCAAAUUUAUAAAAAGAAAAUAAUUAAAAUAUCUAUCAAUUAUUAAGAGAAUGACUAUCCAAAAAAUAAUGGCAGUCAAACUAAUUUUUUAUAAAAAAAUUUAUAACUACCUUAAUGACGGGAAAUUAAGACAAGGGCUUAUCUUAAUCAUUCAUGAAGGAAAUUUUCAAAUCAACAAUAAAUUAAUUUGCCCAAACUUUUGUCUCAGUUUAGUUAUGCAAUAUUCAUUUUUAAUUUAAAUAUACUAGUAAUGUAUUUUUUUAUACUAUCAUUAUUUAAAUAUUAAUAUGUAUGAUACAUUUAUUAUUAUUUUUUUCUAUAAUUUAUAAUUUAAAUAUACUAGUAAUGUAAUUUAAACAUUUUUUUAUUGAUUAUCGAUAUAAAGUUUUUUAUACUAAAUAAAAACUAAACUCUAUAAAAAUAAUAUACCGAAAAAACUCUAUAAAUAUAUUACAAAAAUUUUAAAUUUUUUCACAUUAUUUUUUUUAAAAUUUUAAAAAAUUGCUUUUUGAAAGCAAUAGAAUAAGACCUUAAUUCGAUUUGUGUGCUAAGAUUGUUAAGGAUCCACCACCUUAACUAUUUUAUGGUUAUUUUAGGUUGUUCUUUACUUAACUUAAUUUGAUGAAAAAUUUCCCUUUAGUUGUUGGACCCUCUGCGUCAGGCUUUCCGGGUAGCAUUGUUGGGAAACAGAGCUAUGCCAUGAACGAAGGAGAAGAACCCCUUUCACUCACCAUCAUCAUCAUGCUAAUUCACAUAUCAUUUCACUUCUUUUAGACAAUCUCGUGCUUUGAAAUUCAUCACCAUUUCUUUCACCACUCUUCCACUUUCAUAACUAUGCAUAUAGGUAUGUCUGCGAAUGCAAUCAUCCAAACCAAACCUGCUACUUUUCCUCACAAAAUGCCUUCUUUUUUAGUUUUCUUAUAAUUUUCCAUGGCUUUCUCAGGUGCCCUUUUGUAGCUUUUGAUCCAUUGGAGGAUCGUCUAUUGUUUCUACUAUUUUGGGUGGUUUCUGGAUUUUGUGCGGUGUUAUACAUUUUAGAAAUUUCUUAAUAAUUGGGUACCCUUUGCUAUGUUUUUGUUGUCGAGGCUCUAUGUAGAGUUGUUUUUAGAUUGGUCAUAGAAAGAUGUGUUAUUUCUAUCUGUGUUCAUUGGAAAAACUUGGGAGAAGUUGUCAAAGAGAGAGUAAAUUGAAGUACUUUACCAAUAUAUGGUUCUGGCAGAUGAAUAAUUCUGUCUGAAAGUUGAAUUAGUAUCAUUUGAGUUGACGAGUGAGGUUACUGAAACCUCUGAAAACCGAAUUUUCUUUUUCCUUCCAUGGACUUUAACGGUUUGUCUUGCAUGCAUCAUUUUCAUUCAGCAAUUGCAUUUGGUCUCUUUUAGUGAAUCAUUGAGUUCCUCUUUGUAAUUUUGUAUAUUAGACCUGCUAUACUUGCAAGUGAAAUCCAUUUGCCUUUUCAUGCAAUGGUGCAAAAUUAUUUUGUGUUAUCUACUUUAGCACGGUUCAAGUGCUUAUGUGUUAGUCUUUAGAUGCUGAUCUGCGUUUUUGCGUGAACACAAACAUGUGGUACUGUUUUUUAGAAUAUUUUUCAACGUUGGACUCUAGUUUAGUCACUAAUUGUUGUUGGACAAUCAGAAAACUAGACAUUUGGAGCUGGAAAUGAAUGAAAAAUAAGUCAAUUGCAAAAAACUACCAUGUGCUUUGAAACUAAUCAAUUUGAUUCCUUGAACUUAGCAAAUCGUGCAUAAUGGCUCCUUUCAAGGGUUUCCUACACAUGCUCAAACGGUUAUGUGUUUGGUAAGUUUAGGGAGCCAUGUUACUGAGUUUUGAACCACAUGAAAUUUUGCUGCAAUUGUCCUGUAACUAGAGGGGGUUUAUAUUCAUUUUAGCGAAAUAUUAACUUAAUUCCCUAGUGCUUGUUACAAAUGUUCUCUUUUAAUUUAUUUUUUGUUGUUUUUGUAACACUGGUUUGCUAUUAUUUUGGUCUAACUGAAGCAGGUCAAAUAAAUACAUCUUCAGUGAAAUGUCUUGUCAACAGCAUUUCGCGAUUCAUACAUCUAGUUUCUUGCCAAGCAGUGAAACCUAUGCCCCUUCAAAAGAACUGUAAUAAUAUGGUUUGUGUGUUGAAGCAUUUGAAACCAGUGCUCGAUGAUAUUGUGGAUUUCAAAAUCCCUUUCGAUGAAAAUCUGCAUAGAGAAUGUGAAGAAUUGGAUAUGCGGGUUAAUGAAGCUAGGGAGUUCAUUGAAAAAUGGGGCCCGAAGAUGAGCAGGAUUCACAGUGUAAUUACUUACAUUCUUAAUUUCUUGUACUUGAACAAAUAUCAUUAUUCGACAACUGUUAUUGAACUUGUUUAAGAUCCUAAACCUCUAUGUUGGCAUUUGAACAAGGUCAAAAGAAACAAUGCACCACCAAUACCUCCCCCAUCUGUCUUUCUUCUCUGGAAGAGAUUGAUCACAACCUCUUAACUAUUUUGUUGGGAAUAUUCUAUUUUCAGGUUCUUCAAAGUGGGGAAUUGUUGAUCAAGUUACAGAACUCUUCAUAUAAGAUUUGUCACAUGAUAGUUAAAUCACUAAAGGGACCUGCAUCUGUUUUGGUUUCGGGUAAUCUUCAGGUAGGUCCAACGUUAAAAGUAAAUUUUUUCCUUAUCAUUAUUCAUUUGUUCUUCACUUCUCCUAUCCCACUCCCCUGUAAAAGUAAAAGGACAGGGUAAAGAAAGUCAAACUACUUCAUUUGGCAGUAAUAGUUAUUGUCUGUUUUGUGGGUGCCUUGCGGCUCAAUAGAAUUAUGGCACUAAUUGCUAGCUACUUUUCAGCAAUAUAUGCAGGAACUUCAGUGUCUUAAGAAGGAACCUGCAAUGAUCUAUAUAGAAGACGCAUUGAGAAAUCAAAGGGAUAAUAUCGAACCUUGCUAUGAUUCUCUAAAGGAAAUUAUACGGUUACUCAUGAUAUCAAACCAGGAGCUACUGAUAGAAAGUAUUGCUGUGGAAAAGGAAAGGUCAAAUGCUGAAGUCAAUAAAACAAAAGGGGACUUGGAUGAAAUUAACCAAAUUGUGAAUCUUGUGUGCAGUUUACGUGAUUAUGUGAUGAAAUUUGAGCGCCCUGAAGUCAAAAGUGGUGUUUCAAUUCCCCCCUAUUUUCGAUGUCCUUUAUCAUUAGAACUCAUGUCAGAUGCUGUUAUUGUGGCUUCAGGUCAGACAUAUGAAAGGCAAUCCAUUCAAAAGUGGCUUGAUCAUGGGCUAACUGUUUGUCCCAACACUCGCCAGAUACUUGUCCAUACAAAUCUCAUUCCCAAUUAUACUGUUAAAGCUAUGAUAGCAAAUUGGUGUGAGGAAAAUAAUGUCAAACUUCCCAGUAACUCUAAGCAAAGUAAUUCCUCUCAUAUUUCAUCCCCCUCAGAUCAUUUAUUACAUCAAGAUUUAGAUCGUCUGUGUAGCUUUGAGUCUUCAGCUAGUAGCGAUUCCAAUUCAAAUCAAAUUGCAAAUGCAUUUGAGAAACCAAAGGAUGAUAACUCUUUCAGAUCAAGCAGGGAAUCUGAUAGAAGCUGGAAUGGAGAGACAGAAAAGUUUGAGCAACAAUCCCCUGCACCUUCAUGUAGUAACAGCAGAAGUGAAUCAUUUUCAAGUUCUAUUUCUAGUACUGAUUAUGUAUUUCCAGUUUUGAAAGAGGUGUCAGGCAUAUCUAAUAAGCAUCAAAAUGUGGAGUUGUCUAGAGAAAUUACUGAUGGGUGUCCUGCUUCUCCUGCAUAUAAAGAAUCAGUGAUUUAUCCUUGGUUAUCUGGAAAGCAAUUUCAUAGCCCUGGAUCAAAAAUUGGAAGGAUGGAGGAUGAAAAUAAGUAUAAUGAGAGUAACAAUAUUAGUAUUACCAGUCAUUCAAAAGUUGCUUCCCAUCCUGUAGGAUCCAAUGAAUUGAUCACCACAUCCCAUGUCAAUGAGUUGAUUGAAGAUCUCCAGAGUCAAUCGAAUGAAACACAAACUGCUGCUGCAGAACAAUUGAGGCUCUGUACCAAGCAUAACAUGGAGAACCGCAUCAGUGUAGGGCGGUGUGGGGCAAUUAUGCCUUUACUCUCACUGCUAUAUUCAGAAAGGAAGAUAAUACAAGAGCAUGCCGUGACAGCUCUACUGAAUUUGUCAAUUAAUGAAGGCAACAAGGCCUUGAUUAUGGAAGCAGGGGCCAUAGAACCACUUAUCCAUGUUUUGAAGACAGGGAAUGAUGGUGCAAAGGAGAAUUCUGCUGCUGCUCUGUUCAGCCUCUCUGUAAUAGAUAACAAUAAGGCAAAAAUUGGCCGUUCUGGUGCAGUCAAAGCUUUGGUGGGUCUUCUAGCCUCAGGAACUCUUAGGGGAAAGAAGGAUUCUGCCACUGCUUUAUUCAACCUAUCAAUAUUCCAUGAGAAUAAAGCUCGUAUAGUUCAAGCUGGAGCCGUGAAGUUUCUGGUUCUGCUAUUGGACCCUACUGAUAAAAUGGUUGACAAGGCUGUUGCUCUUUUGGCAAACCUGUCAACAAUUGCAGAGGGCCGAAUAGAAAUUGCAAGGGAAGGGGGCAUUCCCUCACUAGUUGAAAUUGUUGAAUCAGGUUCUCUGAGGGGAAAGGAAAAUGCUGCUUCCAUCCUCUUGCAACUAUGUCUUCAUAAUCAAAAGUUUUGUACCCUGGUUCUCCAAGAAGGAGCUGUACCUCCCCUAGUUGCAUUAUCUCAGUCUGGUACUCCAAGAGCUAAGGAAAAGGUAUGGAACUAAUCCUCUUGUCUUUGUCAUCUAUUUUGGUGGUCAAAUUUUUAUUUAGUGUGCAUAUACAAUUGUUUUGCUACAUUUUUAUGAGCUGUGUUACUCUUCUCUAGGAAAAUAGUGUUCAAAUCUUGGUGUUCAAUCAUGGUUACAGAAUCAAUUUGUUGAAACAAUGUGCUAAAAAAUCUGGCAUUCUAAUCUAUGUUCUGCAGUGCAUUCUUCCCCCAGCCUUGCCCCCAAAAACAGUGAAGAAGUAAGUUUUGACCCUUUUGUUUGGGAUUGUUGUUGAGAUAUUUUCCCUUUGAUCUGAUAUUUAUCAAGUAGAAAGAUAGGAGAAAGCAUAAUUCAUGCUCAAGAGAAAUAAUAAUUUUCACAAUGGACUUUUUAAGUAACACAAACUUAUGAAAAAGUAUACAAACAUUGAGGGGUGAUUGCAUACAGAGUCUCACAUCAUAAGCAUAAUCUGAAACGUGGAAGAAGUGCUAACAAUAUGUUCGCUUACAUGCAGGCACAACAGCUUCUCAGUCAUUUUCGUAAUCAGCGUGAAGGAGUCAAGGGGAAGGGGAAAUCAUGAAGAUAAGGCAAUUUUGAUCAUUUCAUUGCCCUUUUCACUCUUUCCUCAGUAACUCCCUAAUCUACAUCCACUUGAGGACUUUAGGGCUCCUUUACUCAUUUUUUUAAUUCUUUUUAAAUGUAUCAUUUGUGUUGUAGGCACAAACCUUUUUUUUUGUUUCCUGCAUUAGUAGGGUACCCCCCCACCCCAAUUUGUUUUGUUGGUUUUAAUGGCUUGGUUUCUUUCUAGUAGUGAGAUCUGUUUUGAAGAAAAGGUAAGCUAUUUCUGAAGCUUUAUGCUUUGGCGAGAUGUAAAAACAAAACACUGUUCUGUUGGAGUCAUAAGUCAUAACUGAUGCGGUUGUGAGUCACUGUUGUACAUAUUUGUAAAUAUGGUAUAGAAUCUUGUGAUGUACCAUAAAUUGUUGUACCUCAUUCGGCCAUGUGAGCAUUUUUUUUUUAAUUUAUUCAAUCCUGUUUCAAUCUAUGCUUUCACUUUGACUUGUAUAUAUUAUAAUAUUACUGACCUCACCCGUUCAGAGGUAUACAAAGUUGAUUACAUUCUGAGAGCUUCGAGUUCAAUCCAGGACCUUGUUGGCUAGCAUCAGGUCAUGCAUGUCUUGUUUGUUAAACAAGUAAUGCUCAAAAUUUAAGCUCAUCCAGAAAAUGAUUUAGAAAUGGUGCAUGGUACUAAGGGGUCUAACUCCGUUGAACAUAGUGUGUGAAUUGUUGAAACUCCUUUGAUAUAUACCAAAAAAAAAGACAUGAUGUAUGGCUAUUACUUAUUUUAUAUUGUUACAAUGUGUCUAUUUGAGAAUAAUUUGUCCUUGGGGAUGGUUACAUUAUCAUUAUACGGUUGAUAUUUGUCAAAUACUGGUGAAUAGAAUUUUAUAUGAUCAUGUGGUUCAAGGGUACAUAAUUUCUCCCUAAGACAGGUGCAACUAAUGCACCCAGGUUGGAAUUUGGUGAAAUGGGUCAUGCCCAAAGUUAAACUGAAGCAACCAAUUAUUAUUUCCAAAUUUAUGGGCAUAUUGGUUGUAAAAAACGGUGUGAAAACUAAUUGUAUAUGGGAUUUUUUUUUCCUGCACUUCCAUGCUUGAUUCAUGCACUUCCUAUAUUGCUUUCAGCACAUAGAAAGUGCAGGAAGGAAUUUUCCUAUAUAUCUUUGACAUUAUGUUCUACCUAUGUUUAUUUGGGAUCAAUGAUUGGGUCAUGUUCAUGACCAAAAAUUGAUUGGGCUUGUGAUCUUUUUGUUCUGUAGUGUCUUCCAGCCAUCAAUUUAGCAAAAGGAAACAAACAAAAUUGACACGAUCAAUACUCCGUAGUCAGAAGGGGGUAUGGUUCGUGGCCUACUACCACAUGUGUCUAUCAAUAUUCAAGUACUAACUAGGUAAAAAAGACGUACAAAUUUGUCCCAAAAACUUAAAAGCAAUUCAAUGUGUUCUAUCAAUCCUUCCUUAACGAGGGAGAAAGAAAAAAUGUAAUGGUUAUGUACUCUAAUGCAAAAACUUUACUUAAAUGCCACCGUAAAAAGAAAGUAAAAAAGAGGAAAAGAAAAAGCUAUUAUUUUUUUUUGGAAAAGAAAAAGCUAUUAUACCAUUGUCUAAAUCGCUUUGAUAGGAAAUUAAUGUGUCACUUUGCUUUGACGUGCCCAAAGUUUUCUCAGAUCUUAACCUUAUAACCUUAAUAAUCAUUCAGGAAUAUAUUCCAUUUAUUGUCACUUUGAAAAUCUGCAAGAAACACAUGUUGAAGAAAACCUCAGUUGAAAAACACUACAAACACCAGUAUUAUUCUUUGCUUUUCCUCGAGAAAAGAGAAACAUGAAAAUAACGCGGGCAGAUUUGCCUCAUAUGCACGAUGCCCAGACUUUGAUCGUUCAAUUUGGAUGGGAAUUUACCUAAAUUAUUAUGGGCAAUUUGAAAUUACAAAAUACCCAUUCAGUGCACUUGAACUAACUAUGUUUUGCAAGCAAAGAAGGCAUUUGAUGCCGAAAGAAAAGCAUGAUUUCCCUCUAGUCCAAAGUUAGAAAGACAUUCUCUGAUAUAUAGUUGAAAUAUAUUAAAAAUUAUGAAAGUAGAAAUGAGGUUUUUUAAAUAAGAUGUAAGGCAUUAUUUCACCAACAAAAUCUACCAUAAUUAGUAUAAUUAGGAGAUAGUUAAGUCUUUUUAUUUUUUUUAUGAAUAGAAAUUAAACUCAGAUAUUACAAAUUUAUAAUACUUCACAUACAUUCAAUUAAUUGAGCUAGAUUCUCAUAGUCGAGUCUAUAAAACAUGCUGUAAAAAAUUCAAUACUAAAUAAUUUUUAUAAAAUACUUCAUUAAGAGAGAUAAUACACACUUCAUUUAUCUAUAAAAACUACAAAAACAUCAUUUCAUGUGUUUCAAUAAAUUUUAACUAUUAAUAGCGUGUUUUAAAAAAUAUUAAAAAUUGUGUUACUAAUAUUUUUCUAAAGUUUUACAACUAGUAAUUUUGUUGACAUGCAUAAAUAAAUAAACUUCCACUUAGACUAGUUUUUGGUUAGCAAAUAAAAGUGGAAUCCAUUAUCUUUAUACAUAUCAUUUUCAUCUUUUAUUCUCGCCUACUUUCUUUCUUGAAAAUCUUUUGGUACUUCUUCUUCCAAAACAUUUAUCACAUUUAAAGUUUUAAGGUUUCAAUUUUUUAAAAUUAAGCUGAUAAUUGUUUUUUCUUUCUAACUUUAUCUAGCUUUUACUGAUUAUUUGGUUUAAAAAACAUAAGAAAUAAUUAGGCCAUAUUUAAUAUGAUAUUUUUUAUAUGCAAAUUUUAAAAAGUAAUUAAAAACAUUUUCCUAAACAGAAUAUCACUUAAAAGUUUCCUCAUUACGUUUGAUUAAAAGAAAAUAUUUAUCAGUUUGCUUGGAGAGGAGGAGGAAAGUAAAAGUUAAUUAUUAUUAACAUCUUUUAUGCAUGUCGUCCCUGUAAGGCUUUUUACAUUAUUUUUUUUAUGUAGUCCCUUUUUGUCUUAUGAAAUCAAGAGCAAAUUGGAAGUGAGAAAGUGGUGAUGGAAAGCACUGAUCGGAGUAAUGUUAUUGGUGGAGAUGCUUUGCUUCUUUGGUGAAAUUGAAGGUGCCCUAACUGGGAGACAAAAAUGUGCCUUAGCAUGUUUGUAGUUGAAUGCGUAUUUGUGGGUCGAGACUCCAUUGUCACAAAAGUCGUCAAUACAAAAAAUAAUUAAGAAAGAAAAUGAGGAAACAAUGACAGGGGAAGAGUGUGAUAGCAGGGUACAAGGGGGUCACUUGAAUAAAGAGAUGCGUAAAUGUUGUAAAUUUUAUGUUCAAUUCAUGUAAAAAUAAUAAUAAUAAUAACAAAGUUACCAACGUUUAUCCAACAUUCAAAUGACCCGCUUCACAAAUAAUUUACAGAAAAUAUUAAAUUGUUUAAAAUGUAUCCUUUUAAUGUUUUUUAAAUAUAAAAUUAUUUAUUAAACUGUCAUAACUAAUUUUCAUUUAAUAAUUUUUCAAUUAAUAUUAAUGUUAAUUCAUUUGAUCUUUCUUCACUCUUGAGAGAUGAUUGAUCUUUUGUAAGAUUUUUAUUAUUUCUAACAGUAAGACAACUUUUAUUCUAGUAUUAAAAAAGACAAAUAAAAGGUUGAUAGGUAAUGAAAAUUAAAUGAAGGCCAUUUUAUUAUUAAUUAAUUUAAUUAAAAUUUGGGAAUGUUUACAGACCAAUAAAAAGUGAAACAAGAUUUUUGAAGUUUAUUAUUUAAAGUGCUUGCCUAAAAAAUGUAUAUUUCAAUUAAGAUUAGUACUGUCAAAGAUAUAGAUAAAAUAUAGUUGCUAACUAAUAUAGAAAACGAUAAAAUGUGGCUUAUUUUAAACGAAAAUAAAUACUUUAAGUAUUAAAAGCUAAUUAAAUGUUAUUUAUUUAUUGUUAAAAUAAAACAUAAAUAAAUAACAUGUUCCAGGGUUUUAUUUAUUUGGAGAAAUGGAGGUUAAAAGCAAGUGUUUUAUUUACUUUAGGUCCGUAGGAUAGUCGGAAGAGUUUGGGAGGGUGGAAAAGUUGAAGACAGCUUUUUUUUAAGCAAGCUGAAGACAGGUUAGUCAGCACAAAACACAUAUCUUAAGUCCUUUUUUUCUCUUUUAAAUAUAAUCUCUUUAAUUUUAUGUAAAGAAAAAUUCAUUAACUUUUGGAAGAGGAAAAGAAAAGCAUUCGACUAUUUCUCUCCCCCCCAGGCUCUAGCCUCCAAAACCAACCAAUUUUUUUUUUAUUUUAUAAAAAAUGUGUAUUUUGAUUUUUCCCUUCCUUUUUAUUUCUCUCACCAAAUAAUAGAUUAAUAUCUUCAAUAAGUAAGAUAAAAAGUAUUAAUAAAAUAAGAGAAUAGUAUUGCAAAAAGAACAUAUUUUGAAAUUGAAAAUAUUCAAUACUUUUAAUUGUCAUACAAAAAUAUUAAAUGACAAUCAUUUUAAAUAAUAUUAUAAAUGAAGCAAGGUUUUGAAGAUUCCUUUAUCUUUUUGCAGUGAGGUUGCAAGUUGAAAAGCUCAAGGAUCUGCAGCAACUUGAAGAAUUCAUUAAUUAGACAGCAGUUAAAGUGCUUGUUUCUUCCUUAAAGAUCUCUAUUGAUUGCUUAUGGAACAUGAAUCAACCAGCUGUCUAUGAUCUGUAUUAUUGUUUUGUGGGUACAGAACAGCAGGGCUAAGUCGUAUUUGUAGUUAAGUCCCUGAAUCCUUAGUACCAUUCACAUAACUAAGAUUGGGUCCACUCAAGUGCAUUAGCUUUUCUCAUGAAAGCCUUUCCUUAUCUCCAAAUCAAAUCAAAUUAUUAAGCAUUACAACCCUCUUUUACUUCAGUUAAAUCAUUGACAGUUUAUUAUAUAUGUGGUCCACAAACAGUUGGUAUUGAAUUUUAUAUAAUUAUAAUUAUUUUAUUUUUAAUUAAUAUAUAUCUUAGAAGAAUAUUUUUUUUAAAAAAAAUAAAGGCAAUAUAAAUUGUCGUACUUUAAUUGUAAAAAAAUAUUUAUUAAUAAUUAAUUAUGAUUUCUUCCAAUCCUAAUUUUAGACGACUCUACGUGUUAACUCCUGUUGACACAUUUGGUCAAGUCUUUCGACUACAUUAAUUAACUGUGAUUUGAGUUCUAUUUUAGAUUUUUCUUGUUGGCGGAUUAAUGAUAUAUAAAUUUCAUUGUAAAUAUUAGACGAGAUGGGUUAUCUCUAUUUGGCGUUAGAAGGGCAUGCCUUUUCCUAAUAUAUAUAUUUUUUUAGUAAAAAGAAAAAAAGAGAGUUGACUCUAUGUUGAAUAUAUUAUAUACUAAAUUUAAUGUAUUUUGCAAGAUGAAUGACAUUGAAAUUGUUAGAGGAGCGAAUGACAAAAAUGCAUGUCCUUAAGUUGGAGUUGUACUUCAAGUUCCAUCAUGGGUGUACUGCCAAGUGAAGUGAAAACAUGGCCUUCAUUGUGUUCACUGUUUUCUCAACUUACAACAUUUAUGCAAUCCUGCUUCCCCUCCCAAUUAAUAGUGACAGAACAAACGGCCUGAUUACUUCAAUUAUGAAUUAUCAAUGGUUACUUACCACAGUCUAACACCACUAUUAAUAACUUGAAAGCUCAUUGUCACAUCAUUUACCAGCUUUUUUCCUUCACCUGCUACGUACCACCGACACAUAUUCGGGAUUUGAAAACAAUAUAGCAAUAAAAUUAUAAAUAUAAGAUUAAAGUAUCAAAAUUGUUGUGAUUAUUAUUGUCAUGGGUAUGUAUUAUAUCAAAUACUUUUACUGAGUUUUACAUAUAUAUUUAUAUAUUUGCUUAUUUUUUAAUUUCUAUGACAAUAUAAAUGUGAUAUAAUAUUAAUUAAAUGAAUAAUAAUAUUUCAUUAUAUAGUAAUCAAUAAAGUUGACAUAUAAAACAUUAAAUUUGUGUAAUGGAGUUAAUAAAUAUUAUAUAGAUGUAUGUUGUAUUGAAAUUCACUUUUUUGUUAUUUCUUUUUAAGUUAUUCCUUCAAAACGAUAUCAUUUUGAGAGUUAUGUUAAUAUUUUUAUUGCUUGAAAUAUGACAACUGAAAAGUGAAGUCCAUGUUGUAUUAUAUCUCAGUCAUGUCUCAUCUAUGUUGUGAAUUCUAGCAUUAGUGUUGUAUCCAUACAUAUCACUUGUAUGUGUCCGCGCUUUAUAAUUAAGGGAAGAGCUACAUUUAACGUCCUUUCCCCACGUGAGUUUCUCACCUGAGCACUUCUCCAAUCCUCCGUUGCUGCAAAAAAACUGAGAAACACUGCCAAAAAUUCCAAUGGGAAUCAUGGGAUAUAGGUUAAAGAAGAAGGUAUUGUUGGAUCGGAGGCUUUUUUUUAGAUUCCAGUAAUAUGACUAAAAUGAUGUAUAUAAGAAAAGAUAAUAAUCUUUACAGUUAGUUUUAGGCCGGAGUUGAGUUAGUUCAAAUCUAAAGUUAAAAUAGUGUCACAAACAUCUAUCAACAUGUAGUUCUUGUUCAAUCUAUUGAGUUAUCUGUCAGUUGAUCAGCUAUUAUCUAUUUUUGUAAAUUUCACAUUCUAUAUGUCUAGUUCUUCAUGUGAGAAAGUAUGAUAAAGAUUUAAUAUUGACUAAUAAUAUAACUAAAAUAGUAUAUAUAAGUAUGAGUAAUCGUGGUCACUUCAUAAACUAGAUAAUUUGUAUUUUAGCUUAGUGCUUAUUUUUCAACUUAUAAAGAUGGGAAACAAGGAGAUUCCAAACAGAGGAUGAAUGUGAUUCCCUAUCUAUAUAGGCUUUUAUGGGCUUGAAGCUAUGCUUUAACAAACAAUAAUCUUGAUAACCACAAACAUACAAAGAAGAGUGAAAUUGGCAAACAUAGAAUAGAUGUUACUGUUUAGUUUCUUAGCAUAUUGAUUAUAUAAUUAUAUUUUGGUAAAAAUAUAUUGAUAUAUUUUUCCAACUCGUAACAGCUUCAUGAAAGAACCCUUUUUCAAUCCAGCCUAGGAUAUUGACCACAAGAACUUCAUCCCUUACUCUCCGGGAAAAUUAUUCAUGCGGGGGUUAUCUCCAAUACUUGUAUUAAAACGCAUUCGUGUUGGUUUUUGUGGCUGUGCAAUGACGACUGGUACCAUUCUAAAUAUUAGUAAUUUGACCAUAGAUUCUCGCCCCAUGUGGACUAAAUUUAAAAGUCCGAGUAACAACAGGCUAUAUGAAGUGUUCUAUGGAAUUGAUUAUCUAUUUUUAUGAUGUGAAAGGCACUUCAUGAAUUGUCAAGUACGCUUGAAAGUUACAUUUACUUUGACAUUAAAUAAAAAUGUAUAUAAUUUUAAAAAAAUAAGAUACCAAUUCUUAUUUCAACUAACUAGAAUGGUCCACCCACUAAAGCUUAUUUGGCGGGUGUGAUUGAGAUAAUCUAUGAUCAUGAAACAUGUGGUGUCCCCUCACAUAAUUUUGAAAUAAUGUUUCUUGCUUGUUUUCCUUUUCACAAGGGCAUAAUAACGUCUUGCAUUUGAAAGAUAAGAAUAUACGUAUAUAAGAAGAAAAAAGAAUUCUGAGUACUGUUGUGAUGGAAACAAGAGAAGGAAGAGGAACCAAUACAAUAUUGAAUGGAAGAAUUUAUAUAAUAACACUAAUAAAAUUGUGUGGAAGGCAAGAAAACAGUCUAAGAUCCUAGUACCGGAUUUUGUCAUAGACAACCCAGCAAGAAUUAAUUAAAAAAAUAAUCGAAGACAAAAAAAUUCCCUCUCAAUAUGGAAUAUUUAAUUGCCCCCACUCGGAUGCCUGUCCUGGAAAAACAAAACCAUUUGGUCAUUAAACUAAGAUGAACAGGAGUACAUGCAAAGUAAAGGGUGUAAAAAUAUUAAAGAAGUGGAGAAAGACAUGGAAAAUGAGAAAGAGGCCAGAGUAUGAAUUAUGAAACUAUAUGAAUAUUGCAAAUGUUUUCAUACAAAUGUGUUAAUAAUUUGUAAUUACAUAUGAGUAAACGCUGCAUAUAAUUACGUGCUUCCCUUCAUUUUUUCGUUAAUUUCACCGAAAUCUAACUGCAACAAUAUGUUUGUCCUCCCAUGAUGUUUAUUUUCUAUUUGAUCUUUAAUAUAGGAAAAUGUGCUGAUUUGAUUGUUAAUGAGUUCGGUGUCAACCUAAUUGAGAUUGUCCUUCUCAAUUUGCAGUAACAUAUAUAACUCUGGAUUUUGAUAAAUAAAUAAAAAAAACAAAAAAAAACUGCAACAAUAUGUUGCAUUCAAUGAAUAGUCUAUUAAGUAUCUAGGAGGGUUCCAUGAUUCAAGUAUACUACAUUAAGCUCAUUUUAGUCAAUAAGAAACUCAAAAUGUAUCAAAUAUGUUUUAAACUUUAUGGUAUAUAUCAACAGCAAAUUUAGAAAUAUAUAUUGACUGUGAAAAUAAUAGCAGAUGGUGGUGAAUGGUGAUACAGUUAAGGGUGACCGUGCUGAUGAAGAUGACAAUCUAUAACAGUACACAGUAGUCCCAGCAAGGAUAAUCCAAUCAACUAGCUAUUGGCUUGUUAGUUGGACUGUUUUGUUUCCUUGUUAAUAAGAAAUCAAAAUGGCGAGGAUGGUCAAGUUUGUUGGCUUAAUAUUAUAAUGAGAACUUGAAAAGGGCUAAAAUCUUUAAACAUUAUAGUAUUCUACCAUUACCAGCUGAACAUACCAGUACAAAUGGGGGGUGGGAGAAGAAAAUAAUUACAAUAUUCCUCACCAUGUAUCUAACAAGAAACCAAGACGAUGAUUUGUAUUCAAUAAAAUCACGUAGACUAUACACAAAUCAACUUUACUACAUGAUUGAAAAUGGAAUAGUUAUGCAUCAAUUAGAUGGACCACAAGACACCAAAAUCAAAACAUCAAUUUAGCACGAUUAAGCUUCUUGCCAUGUAGUAAACCAGCAUACUGCAUGCGUACCUUAGAAUAGAGCCCAACAUAUAUAGGAAGCAUACGUAUAUAUUGAUGACUGUCUACGUGUAUAAAAUAAAUGAAUAAAGCAUUCUUUUUGUUUUAAGCAAAGAAUAAAGAAUUCUUGUGACAGCUAAUCAAACAACACAAAAAAACCAAGUACUUAAAGAAGGCAUUAUUCCUAACAAAACGUCUGAUUUUAAAGCAGUAGCUUGAGAAGCAAAAAUAAAAAGCAAUUUAUUUUAACAGAAAAAGCUAAUUUAAUAUGUUUGUUAUUAUUCAUAUCCCCUUCUAAUAACAUUUGAUCCACUUCAUGAAUAUUCAUAAUUGAUGAUUUAUUAUCUUGUGUGCAUGUGUGCGUGUGUGAAAAAUCUUUUCUCUAAAAGUAGUUUUCAUCAAAUUAAUAUUAUUUUAUGAUUAACUUUAAAUGUUAACAAUUUAAAAACUCUAAUACAUAUCAUUAAGGGUAUGUUUGGAAUCACGCUGAGUAAAAAAAUUCCACUUUUCAAAAUAAAAAUGCCAAAAACAACUAUGUUGUAACUUUAGCCUAAAAGUUUGAUGGCUUUAGAUUCAUCUAUUUUCCAAACACACACUAAUUCUAUAUUUACAGUGUGAUCAAAAUAAUAGAAUCGUCAAAGUGAGCAACCUAACUAGCUUGACCAGCAAGCUAUGUUGUGGAAUGUAGACUAAUUUAAAUUUCUUAUAGGCUACACUUUUAUCAACUUAACUUGAUUGUGUGUGUUAGUCCUAGGAGUACUUUAAAUGAGUUAAAUUAUUUGUAAACUAUUACUCAUUAAAUACUCAAUUCUUUAAUUAAAUAAAUAAGUCCAAACUUUAUAUUAUGCUUGCUUAUUUAAAUGAGUCAAAUCUAAAUUUAACAAGUUCGACAUUAAUAGUAUGUGACAAAUAGUUAUAUAUAUCAUGAAAAAAAUUCAAUUACAUAGAUUUGAUAAAAUCAUACUUCUUGUUCAACACAUAUUUUUAUUUGUAGAUUAUUAUCUACUAUUAAAAUGUUUUUAUCAAAUAUCUAAUUGAUAAAGUUAAGAAUAAUUUAUGGAAAAGUUUCUCAAAAUAAAAAUUAAUUUAAGUUAUAAAAUGAACUAAAUAAGUCAGGUUCAAACAUUAGAUUUUUUUUUAAAAAAAAUGCUAAGUUCAAUCGUUUAGUUAGGCUCAUUUAAAUAAUUGAGUUAAAUUUUAAUCAUCCAUUUUUUCACAAACCAAAUCUAAAUUUUAAUUCUUGACUUAGCUCAACUCGUUUACUUUCUUAGUUGAUCCAUUAGAUGGAACCAAAUUGAUCUGAUUUUUCUCUCUUAAUUAUAUUUAAAUUUUAUAAAAAAAAAAAUAUAAUAGUAGUGAAUCAAAUAGAUAUAGUAGUCUUUAGGCCUGUAUUACAAAGGCCCGACCCGUCUAACCCUCCUUUAGUCGGGUCAAUUAAAACCUAGUAUGUUUCAAGCCUAAUAUUUGACAACUCUACACAAGUGACAUGAAUAACUUUUCUCACCUUUGUUCCUUAAGUCCUUUUUAUUUUAUUUUUUAAAAAAAACUUGAUCAAUUAUGUAAAAAAAAUAAAAUUAAAUAAUCGAUGGCAAUAAUACAAAUCAUAAAAAAUUUCUACGUACUCUAUUUUAAAGUUAAAAAAGAAUUGCUUGUUUUAUCAAUAUAAUAAGUUCGUAUCUUUUUUUAUCUUCUCCGCUAGAUAACAUAUCAAAGUUCAGAAUAAUAUUAACUCCCCACAUUUAGGUCGCCUUCAUAAUAACAAAACUUUUUAAUAAGUUUUUUUCGUCUUCUUUUUACUUCCUUUUGAAAAUGUAAUCAACUAGUUUUUUAGCCAUCUUAUAUGGACGUAUAUCAAAAGGUGCAUCUUAGUUGGUUGAGCAAGACUAAUGAAUGUUGUAAAUCAUGUGUGGUAGUAUGUUUAAUUUCUAUGGAUCAUAAAAAAUAUUAAAAAGAUAAGACUAAAAUACAAGUCCUUUUAAUUUUUAUUUGUGACAUUUUAUCUUUCACUUUUAAAAAAUUUGUAAUUUUAGUUUUUUUUAUUUUUUAAUUGAGAUAUUUUAUCUCCUACUUUUAAAAUAUUUGUAAUUUUAGUCUCCUUAGUUAAUUUCAAACUUAUUGACAAUUUCUAUGAAUGAUUAAUGUAUUUAAUAACAACAAAAUAGUUUAAAAUUUAAUUGUUAAAUUAUUUAAUUAUUAUACAAUAUUGGGUCUUGCUAACAAAUACUCUUAGAACAUUGGUUAAGAAAAAAAAAAUUCUUGUGUAAAUUAUGAAAGAACAUAAAAAAAAUAUCAUGAACAAUACAAUUUUUUAUCUCUCAAUAAAAAUAUUUCUAUUUUAAAUUCCUUCAUUAAUAUCCUUAAUUAGGACACUGGUCAGCAUAUGCUACAAUAUUUAAUAUUAAAUUAUUUGUUUCACAAGAUAAGAUAAAAAUGAGUAUAAAACUUUUGUCUCAUAUUAUAUAAUUAUAUUGUUGAGUAUAAUGAAGUAAAAAAAAUUAAAAUAUUUAACUAAUAUAUGGAUUUUUUUUUUAAAAGUUACAGGUUCUAUAUGAGUACGUAAUUUUUUAUUCUUCACAUUAUGGUUGUUUAAUAGAGAUAUUAUAUAUGUCAAAAUAAGAAAACAAAAUUGAACCGUGAAAAUAUAUACUUUAAAUCUUAAAAUAUCAGAGAUUUAAUAGAGGAAAUAAAUUUUCUUUUGUAGGUAAUUAUGAUGUGUUUCUACUUAUUAUAUUAUAAUAAUAAAAAGAAAAUAUUAUUCUUUUCUGUGACAACCGAUGCAAUUUUAAUUAGCUCAAUAGAUUAUAUAAAUUAUCAAAACUCUCACCACUAAACUGACCAAGUGCGUAGGAAGUAUUGUUAUUUGCACACCAAUAAAUGCAUGUCAUUUUAUAGAAAAAAUAGAAAAUAAGAGAAAAAAAUUAAAAGUAAUUCCUUUGCCUAUAAAAAAAUGUCUAAUGAGUGUGAAAUUGGAAUAUAAAAAUCAGUUUUGCAUUAUAUAUUUCACUUUUUUAAUAUUAGAGUUAAAAAAUUAAUCUGUAUUCAAAACGUCAUAAACACUGAAGAGAGCUAAGUCAUUUAAGUAGUCUAUUGAGUAUCUCAUACUUCAUGUGAAACUUAGGCAUCCCGUAAUAUCAAACUCUUCAUCAUAUAUAACAUCACUCUUAUGAGUUAAUAUCCUGAUAGCUAACACUACGACGCUUUACUCGAUCGGUCUGAUUAAUUAACCUUAUUGUAGGUAAUCAUUUCCAAGAAACCAACAAUAAAAUUUGAUACUAAUCGAUAAGCAUCCAAACAUCUGGUGAACUCUUCCUUAAAAUUAAGCUAGGAAUCAAGGAGGAGAACUAACCCAUUUAAGUGCUUCAUCAAACAUUCCACAAAACUCAACGUGAGACUUAAAGAUGGGCAUAAUACCUAGAUCCAUGUUAAAAUAUUUGAAAAGUAAGUAGAAUGACUUAUUUUCAUUUAACUAAUAAAAAAUAAUUUUAAAAUAUAUAAAAACUAAUUAAAAAAAAUAUAUAAAAUAAUUUUAAAAUCAUUCUUGAAAAUAAUUUUUGUCAAUUGAAAACUUUUUUUUAAAUCAGUUCAAUUUUUAUCAAUAAAUAUUAAUAGUAUUUAUUAGAAUAUUCGAAGCUAUUAUUAUCUCUGGUCACUCCUCCCUUCAAUCGUUGAAACUCUCUUCCAAACCAUCGUAUUAACUUUAAAUCUCUUUUAAAUUAGUUCUAUAAAUAUACUAAGAGUGUUUGGAUAAGAAUUUCAAAUACUUCAAUUGGAAUUUUUUUAUUUUUAAAAUUUUGUAUUUGGAUAAAAAAAAUUAAAAUUGUCAGGAUGAAAGAAAAUGGAAUGCAAAGAGAAGAGAAUAUAUGGUUGGUGUGCUUCUAAAAAUAAGAAUACUGAUACGGCAUGGGAAGUCGUAGGGGAAUCGGGAUACGGCGACAUACAUCACCUCACCCGACCACAACAUUCCGUCAGCGAUCCAAGGAAUGAUCGAGAUCCUCCGCGCCGGCAAGCACCUCCGUCACGUGAUGGAUAGCGACAACUGCUCCCAUGACUGGCAGGUGCAAUUCUAUGUGUCCCCCUACGCCCGCACCCGAUCGACGCUCGCAAGUUCAGACGGCGUUUCUUGAAGAAGAUGAUCAUCGACGUGAGGGAAGAGUCACGAGUUUGAGAACAAGAUUUUGGAAACUUUUAGGUUGAAGAAGAGAGAAGGAAGGUUAUAAAAGAAAUACAUAAAUAUUUUGAAAAGCUUUUCUAUCAAUAAGAGAAUUUCAAUUUAUCACAUUUUAAAAGAAAAUUAAAAUUUCACAUUUUUAGUUGUUUAAAAUUCCAAAAAUUUAAAUUCUUCAUAAGAAAAACAUUUAAACAAUAAAUUUUAGAUUAAAAAAAUUUAAAUUCUCUAAUAAAUUACUUUUCUCGAUUAAAAUUUUGUAUCCAAACGCACUUUAAGUGCAAAUUUAAUUGUAAAACAAAAUAAUUGAGCCAAGCACAUGUAACUAUUGUUGGAAUGCAUUUUUGUGGCCUAAAAAACGUGAAUUUUGUGUCAACCAAAUAGGAUAUGCUUGAUUCAUAGUAAAAUAGCUCGACUUUAAAUUUAAAAUAUUUUUUUAUACAAAAAUUCCUUUGAAUUUUAUUUCUUUUUUUUUUCAUUUUCAUAAAAUGAGGGUGGGAAGUGGACAAAGGUGGUGUCAGAAAUUAAAGUUUCAUCUUUCUCUUAAGAGAAAGAAAAGGUUAAAAAGGAUAAACUUGUAGGGGCAUUUGGGUCAAUUCAAAAGGAACUGUCAUUCAAGGCUACAGGGUCAAGAAACAGAAUCAUGUUAUUCCCUCAUUUUUACCCCUUCAAACUUUUUCCUGUCUCCAUCGAAACCUACUGUCCAACCUUUCUUUCCUAUUUCCUCCAAAGCCCUAGUCCCCUCCCUUCCUCUCUUUCUCUCUCCUUCCUAACAUACAGCACUGCACAAACACAAGGAAGAAUAUUAAUACGACCAUUAACAAGCGACGAUGAAAAUUUGAGUUUGCUCCACCUUUUUAAGGAAAAAACCCAAUCCCUUAUCAAUCUCGGAAAUCAAAGCUACUAAAAAAAACACCAACAGUUACCCUUGUGAGAGAUUUCUAGUAUUGCUCAACAAAUACUCACAACUUUGCUGAAUAGAGCAAACGACGAACUGGCCACUCACUCUCCCAUCAAUCUCAUCACAUUCUCAACAUCAAUAAAAUCUUCUUUUGCUUCACCAUUUCCAGGUACAGUACAUGUGUGUUCCAAUAUUUCUAUCUCCAAUAAAAUUAAAAUAAAAAAGAUAAAAAGCCAUCAAGUCUCCAAGACAAAUCAACAAUUAAUCAGACUUUGUUUCCUUUCCUUCUUUUUUUUUUUAAAAAAAAAAUUAUUUUUUCCCUUUAAGGUUGUUGUUUUCAUUUACAGUAACUUCUAAAAGCAAAAAAAAACAUUAAAAAAAAUUAUUCAAACAAUAGGACAUUUCCUCAACUGUUAUCCAAACUAUAAGUAUAGUAAUUCUUUAUCUCAAUUAACCUUCAUCUCUCUCACACACUCCUCUCACCAGCUCUGGUCACUGUCUUAGGAACCCUAGAACAGCAACCCAGAUAAACUAUUCCAAGACACACAACACACAGAAAGAGAGAAUCAAAACAAUUAAGCCUUGGAUCUGCAUAGCAAAGCAAAGAACAAGGGCCAUGGAUUCAAAUAUUCAAGACUUUAUAGACACAUGUAACUCCGACAACACCUGCAACCUCAUCACAAAUAGCAUCACCACCGCCAACUUAACAGCUAGUGCUGCCUCUUCCUCUCCUGCUUCCACCUCCAUCACCAGCAGCAGCCGCUACGAGAACCAGAAGCGCCGUGACUGGAACACCUUCGGUCAAUACCUCAAGAACCACCGUCCCCCUCUCUCCCUCUCCAGGUGCAGCGGUGCACACGUCCUUGAAUUUCUAAGGUACACACACACCCUCUUAAUUAGUCUUGCACACCAUGCACCUCUUCUCUCUCUAUAUAUUUUUUAUAAAACCCACAUGUAUCUUUUAUCAGAACCACCAGAUAAUAUCUGGAUGACAGAGCUCUCCUUCUGAUACUUGGAAAGAGAGCCUGUUGUCACUAUCUAUCUGACUCUCGAGUAAAAUUAUUUUCUUUUCAACAUACAUACAUUGGGUCUUUGUUAUGUAUGUAUGAAUUUUUUUUUGUUGUUAUUGUUAUGUGUGUGUAUAGGUACCUGGAUCAAUUUGGGAAGACCAAAGUGCACACACCGAUCUGCCCUUUUUACGGGCACCCGAACCCUCCGGCGCCAUGUCCAUGUCCUCUUAGGCAAGCUUGGGGGAGCCUUGACGCACUCAUAGGGCGUUUGCGUGCAGCUUUUGAGGAAAAUGGAGGGAAGCCAGAGGCAAACCCUUUUGGAGCCCGAGCUGUGAGACUCUACCUUCGUGAGGUUCGUGAUCUGCAGUCCAAAGCCAGAGGAAUUAGCUAUGAGAAGAAGAAAAGAAAGCGUCCACCACCUCAGCAACAACCCAUGCCAAUACCUCAUCACCCUCUUCCUCCUCCAGGUGCAAGUGCAACUCAUUAGAGGAAUUCAAUUCUCACACUCCAUGCCAAAUUCUACCACCUUCCUCUCUCACUCAAUCUUUUUCCUUUGUGUCCAAACUCAAAAAACCUUCAUCUCCAAGUGGGAUCUCUUCUUUUAAUCCCAAUAUGCUUUUAGAGUUAUGAUCUAGCUAAUUUAGUAUCAUGAUAUUUAGGGUUUUUUUAUUUUAUUUUUCUUUGUUAAUUUUUUUAAGUUGGUGAAAGCUGCUAUAUCUCUGGUCCAUAUAGACUGUUUGUCUUUGGAUCCUGUUUGGUCAGGGAGAAGCAAAAGUCUAAAAUUAAAUUCUGGGAUAUAUCAUGCAUCUCUCUGCUUUAAAAGCAGACAGUGCGGUACUGGUAGUAGACUGAUAGUGCGUGGGAAGUACUGAAAAGUGGAAGUGAGACUGUGAGAGAGUGAAUGGAUAUACAUGGAAGCCAUGAUCCUUGUGAUGAGGAAACCAAAAGUAUGGUAUUAUCAUUCAUAGUUCUAUAUAAUAUAUGUACUUUUCCUUUUCUCUAUGUCAAGCUUAGACUUGUUGGGGAUUAAUUAUGUGCCUUACCUUAAUUUAUAUAUAUAUUAUUUUAAUUUUCUGAUUUAAAAGGGUGUUGAAUUUUAUUAUAAUUGCUUGCAAAUUCGAACUUGAUAACUAUAGGUAACAAGUCACUUCCGUACAUGGUGAUGUUGGAUAACAUCUUCGAAUAUUGAUUAUCAUUAUUAUUUUCUUAUACCUAUAAAUGAUUAGUACUCUUUCUUAGCUUCUUUUUUUCCUCGUAGUUGCCACUUAUGUGCUUUACUGUCUCCCCCAAACCCAAAUGUAUUUUGUGUGAAAAACAAUGAUAGUGCUUCUAAAGCUUAAUCAUAGCAACUUCUGUAUGUUUCAAACUGACAAGUUUUAUUCUCUCUCAAAUUCGACUAACGGCUGACUGUUAAGUAAAUCAUUUUGAUUGGUGAUUCUGAUUCAUAUUAUAAAUGCUGUAGUGCUGUCAUUUCAAAUGAAGUGAAAUUAUAAAAGCCAACGAAAAUUAAUGGCAGACGAUGUAAUUAAUUCCUAUAUAUGUGACCAAACCUUUUGUUCAAAAAAAUGACCAAACCUUUAUUAUUAAUUAGCUUAAUAUAUUGUUUAAUUAUGAUCCUAGACCUUAUAUAUGCUUUUCUUCUAUACUACCUUAUACGGACAUAUAUGCCGACUAACAAUUAAUCAAAAUCUCCUUGUAGAUCAUGAUGCAUAUCAUUAAUUCACAAGUUUUCAUUUGAAUUAGGUCAUGUCUGCCAAAUGGUUGGUGCCGAUAUAAAAAAUGUUUGUCAAAUGUCGAAAUGAGAGCUAUAGGCUCUUUAAUCUGCACUCGCUUGAAAAGAUAAUAUGAUAUGGUGGCAAGGUAUUUUUUCACCAUAGUAGGAAGUAGCACAGAAAGCCAAAUUAUGCAAACUUGUCUUAAGAGUAAAGAGACUACAAAUAGGUCAGCAAAAAAGAAAAGCAAAAAGUUACUUUGGUAAUUUAUAUAUUUUGAAAAUAAUUAUUUUUUUUGACGAGAAAUUAUUUUUUUAUAUACAAAAAUGAAAAAAAGAAAUUAGAUGAGGAGAAUAAUUGAGAAAUCUGCAUAAUAAGCUUAUAAAUUAGUUUAUUCUAUAUCCAACCUUCAAUACUUUUUUAAUUGUUGAAAUAACUAUAAAAAAUUUCUACAACUUAUUCAAAUUAAACCAGAUGUUCUAAAAGAGUCAGUAAGAAAUUCUCAGAAUCAAUUUGGCCGACAAAUCUGUCUGUAAAAAUUUUGGGUCAUCCAUUCCUUUUGUAUUAUGUUAUUAUUAUGGCUCAAAAAGAAGAAAUUUCCCAAUCCCUCUGAUCAUGAAGAGGCGCCUAUUGUACCUCCAUUUGCUAAAGCGAAACCCAAUAAGACAUUGGAUAUAUGCUGGAAAGAUAAGCUAAGCUUCUUAUUUUCCCUUUUGAAGUGAUUCUAGUGGGGCAUAUAUGAGACUACCACUUCAAGACAUAGAGGAUCUAUUCUUUCCUCUAAUGAUUUAGGUAUAAAUUUCAUAAGUACUUUAGGCUGUAUAUGAGGGUCAUACGAUUAGAGCACUAUAUAGCCUUAUGAUGCCAUUUUUAAAAUAAUCAGUGGUUAAUGCAGUUAACAUCGUACUAAAUUAAGAAGUAGGCAUUUGAUAUUUUUAUUUUUAUUUUUUGUGGUGUAAAGGAUUUUGAAUGUCAAAAUAUUUUUAUGAUAUAAUACAAAAGUAUAAUGAAAAAUAUGAUUUUAAUAUUUCCCAAUUAGUAAAUCAUUAAUUUUUAAUCUAGAUCACAUGUAUUUUUUAACGGAGAUAACUUAAGUAAAAAAUGAUUAUUAUGGAUAAGAAUUUUAUUUCUUCUAAAUUUUUAAAAUAGAUGCAUACUAAAGUACGUCAUCUUAUUCUAAUUUUUAAUAAUAAAAAAAUGGAGAAGAUGAACUAUUGUGUAAUGGUGGAAGUUUUUGUUGCAUUCACUUAUGAUGGCAAUAGAAUCCAUGUUCAAUGUUCAAUUCACUAUUCGUGAAAAAAAAAUGGACCAAUGACAAUUAAGUAUCAUGGAUGAAAUUAGUUUUAGUGGAUUAAAAAAAUUAUCAUGAUUUUUGACCUAAGACAAAAGUAAAAUAUAAAGUAUUUAUCGAUUCUAUCAAUAAUUAAUAUUGGUUGAAAAAAUUGACCAAAAACUUUCAAAAAAUAUUCUUUUAGUUAUGUUUGUUCAUUCACAAAAAUUCGAAUAUGAAACCUUAUUUAUAAAUUGUCUAUUUAAGAUUGUAAGAAAUCAACCUACCCAAAUAACUAAAACAGAUGGGAAAAUACUAAUUAAGGAAUUAAAUUUGGGAACAUGUAAUUUUUGAGCAAAUAUUUAAAAAUUUAAUAUUCUAAUAAUUUAAAAUAUAAUUAUUAGUAAAUUACAUUAUUGCUCCAUUCAUAUUAAAAAAAUAUUUUUUAAAUAAGAAUACGAAUCUUCAUUUAUUGAGUUCAAAUAAUAAUUUUAAGGAAUUUUUAAUUCAAAUAAUAAUAAUAAUAAUAAUAAUAAUAAUAAUAAUAAUAAUUUACUGAUCAUUUCUAUAUUUUUUUUAGUCAUGCCUAUGAAUAUUCUAAAAGUAUUAGUUAAAGAAUUAUCAAUAGAAUAAAUUUUUUAUUAAAAAUAUAAUAGAGAUGUAUUGAUGACAUUAAAUAUUAUAAUUUUCAUAAAAAUCAUUUUUAAUCCUUUAAUUAAUGUGAAGAAAUGUCUAAUUUAAUUAGCAUGAAUUUGACAAUAUAUUUGAGUUAUCUUUUAAUUUUUUUUAACGAACUGACAAAAUUGUUUGAUGGUUUGAUAAAUAUUGUUUGACGGUUUGAUAAAUAUUUUUUUGAUAGAUUUUAGUAUUUUUUUGAAAUAUUAUUUGAAGUAACAUAAAACAUACUUCUAACUUUUAGUUUUUUAGUUUUUUUAUAUUUAUUUUCUUUUUAUCCUUGAAUAGUUAUUACAUUUUCCUUUUAAUUUCUUCUAUUUAAGAUAAUUUUUUUUUUUUACAUAUGAUAGGAUUUUCUCAUUUUUAUAUUUUUAUUAUAUAUGAUAUUGAUAGUGAUAUAUAACGAGUUUAUGUAGUUUUUUUUAUUUGGAUAUUAUAUAAAUAAAAAGCUACAAUUGCUUAAAAUUAAUUUAAUACUAAAACUAUAAAUACUACAAAAUAUAUAUUUAUCAAGAAAAUUAAAUUAAAAUUUGUAUAAAAAUAAUACAUAAAUAUAUUCAUUUAUAUAAUUUUAUAUUUUUCAGUCAUUUUAAUAAAUAAUUUUUUCAAAUAUAUGAUUUAAUAAAUAAUUUUUUUAACUUUCAACCAUCAAUUAAUUUUUAACUUCCCUCUAAUUUUUCAGCUUUAAAUUAAAUUUUCAAUUAAUUUUCAUCAUAGCCUUAAUUUAUAAUACUAAACUUAUACUAACUUUCUAACCUUAAUCACCACAGCUAUAAAAUUGAAAGGUUCAUUACUUUUUAAAUAAAAUAAAUUUCGUUGUCAUCAAAAGAGUUACAAUGACCCAACCAACUGCUAUCCACAACUUUUGCCAUAAAAAAUUGUCUUUUUCUUUUAUUUUCAGAACACAGCCCACGUUGUUAUAGAUAUGUUCUAAAAUACUUACAGGAAAAACUGCAUAAUAUCCUAACUAAGCAUAAAAAAUAGACCAAAUACUAUGCAAUUCUACCGUUUAGCAACAAGACUGAUUAUAAAGAGAUGAGAUCCUAUUCCCUUUGAUUAAGUUCUGCCGGAUAAGAAUUUUCUCCCAAAAAAAUGUCCCAUGCAAAUGCAAUUAACUAUUAAGUGUGUAGAGUGGUAUGUAUUUAUAUAUGUGGGCGCGUGCACAAAUGAUGUGGGUGUUUAAAAAAUCAUUACAUCUUUGAAAAGGAGAUAGGAGAUUAAUUAAAAGGGUAUAAAAAAAUAUGAAAAUAUAGAUAUAUGUAAUUUUUAUUAGCAUAUGGAAAAAUGUGCAGCAUAACUGUCUAGUUAUAGAUAACUUAUGUUUAUAUAUAUAUAUAUAUAUAUACACUUCCAUGGAAUUUAAGUUUUUAUAAGAAAAAUUAAAUGAGUGAUAGACGACAAUAUUAAAAUCCGUUGGUGGAAAGGUUUUAUGGGCAAAAUUGUACAUGCACAUGUACAUAAUUAGCAGCACCUAAUUCAAUUUAGUUUGAUUUGAUUGUAGUUAUCAUUGAUCAUUGAUAUCAUAUUAUUUCUUUAGAGAGAAUUGAUAUCAUAUUCUUAUUGACCUUUACAUAAAAAAAUUAUUCUUAUUGCACGACAUAAAAUUUUCAAGGAACCUACCUUUUCACGCAAUAAAUGUACAAUUAAACCCUACGAAUCUUUUUGAAUGACAUGGGUUUUGUAACUAUGAACAUGAUCUUAACUUAAGCUUUGUUAUUCAUAAAUCGUUAAUGAAAUCUUUGACCACAAUCAGAGAAGAGAUUGGUACGUAUUUCCCUCUUACCAAUCAAUGACAUGGGGUUUGUCAGUAUGCUAAAAACAGGUAGUGUUGUGUGCUCUACGCUGAUUAAAAAAAAAAGUGUUGUGUGGCCAUGAAAGAAUAAUUGCGUAGAAUCAGUACACAUAUAUGAUCAUUUGAAUGGAAGUCACUGAUAAAGUGAAUUGCACGUAUGUUCAAUCGGAACUGUACGUAAGAACCCAUUUUUUUCUAACAAAAUGGGGCGUUGCCGGUAGAUAAUAUCUUAAUUACUUGGCCACUUUCUCUAAAAAAUAGUGUACAGUUGCACAGUUGGUUUUUGUUUUUCGGCAUAUAAUGUGAAUUUAAUCAAUCAAACUACUGUAAAGUUUGUGAUUCUAUAUCAUUUUAUUAUUAUUAUUAUAAUUAUUAUUAUCAUUGGUGCUUACUUGUCACUCAAUUAUUAGUAUUUUUUUCAGAUAUAUAUGUCAUCUUUUUAUCAAGUAAUUGAACAGGGAAAGGACGGGUAAAAACAUAUAUUAAUUUUUAUCACCUAAUUUAUUGAUCACGAUUACCUCUACAAAGCCUAUGCGUGUGCAUUGCGUAAAUUCAGAAACCUCGCUGCUCAUUCAUCCAUUUACUUAUCGUCCUAUAUAUCUUCUAGAUCUACAUCUUGUAGAACUAAUAAAACUCAAGUCCCCAACCAAAUUUGUGACUACCUGCAACACUAAUUUACAACAAGGUCUUGUUAAUUUGAGACACCAUUGCCGGAUUCUAUAGUGAGAUCAAGCUACAAUGGUGAGUAGUAAUUAAUAUUAAUUUCCUACAAACUGCAAAAAAAUCAAAUGUCAAACCAAUCGAAAUAAACCUGAAAAAUUUAGAGCUAUUGUUUACUCGCGGAGUUGAGUUUAAAGAGGUGAAGAGUGGACAGAAAGAUUGGUCCUCUUUGUCAUAAAUAAGCUACAUCAUCUACAUGCAGCUAGAAGGUAGAAGGUGGCCAUAUUGCUGCACAACUCUGAAACCACGGUACGUGAGAACCGUUUUUAAUUUAUCUAACGCUAACAGAAGUAAAAAUUAAAAUUAAAAAUGGCUUUUUUUACCAACAGGGUGCAAUUUUUUUUUUUUUGGCUUCUUUUCAAAUGGGGACAGUUUUUACAUUAUUUCCCAAAGAAGGUAAAUUGAUGUAAUGAUGUAACACCUGUUUAUACUUUACUUUCUUUUAACUAAAGUUAUAAAUAAUUUUAUGAUUUUAGUGUAAUUUUCUUUUUUACAAUUUUAAAGUUGUAAGUUUUUUUUUUAUGACUUUAAAGUCGUAAGAUUUUUUUUAAAAAUGAAUUAUGACUUUAAAGUUGUAAUUCUUUUUUUUUAUGUUAUUUUUUUGUUUAUAUUUUAUUUUCUUUUUAAUUUUCUAAAAAUUGUAAAAAAAAUUAUUUAAUUAAUUAUUAAAUACAUAUUUAUAAUUAUAUUUGUUAUUAGUUUUAUUUAAUAUGUUAUUUAUUUUUUAUGGUUUUAUUUAAUAUGCUAUUUAUUUUUUUAAUGUUAUUUAUUUAAAAUAUAUUAUAUUUUUUUACUUAAUAUAUUUUGUAUAUUUAAAAUUUAGAUAAUCUUUUAAUAAUGUUAUUGAAAUUUAUCUUUUUAAAUGAAAUAUAAAAGUAACUUAAUGACAUUUUAUUUUUUUUAAUAUUUAUUUUAUUUUAAAUACUUAAAUUUUAAAAAGUAAAAUUUGAAACCAAAUAUUAAAAAAAAAUUAUUACUAAUAUUAAGUUAUAAUUUAUGAUGCUGAAUUAUUUAUUUUGUGUAAAAGAAUUUACUAUUAACAACAUGUAAUAAUUUAAUAAUAGAAGUAGUUGUUAAAUUAAAAACAACAUAAUACAUUAAUAUAAAAUGAACAAUACAGAUUAAAGAGAAAUAUAAAAAAUAGAAACUAUAUUGUUCAUUUUGUAGGAGUGAAUGACAUAAUCGUAGUAACUGUUUAUACAAAUAAGUAGAUAACUAAUAUAAUUUUUACUUUUUAUGUUUCUCUUUUAAGUUGUAUUGUUCAUUUUAUAUUAAUGUAUUAUGUUGUUUUUAACUUAACAACUACUCUUAUUACUAAAUUAUUACAUAUUGUUAAUAGUAAAUUCCUAUUUACACAAAAUAAAUAUUUCAACAUCAUAAAUUAUAACUUAAUAUUAGUAAUAAAUUUUUUAAUAUUUGGUUUCAAAUUUUAGUUUUUAAAAUAAAAAAAUUCAAAAAAAUAUAUUAAAUGUCAUUAAGUUACUUUUAUAUUUCAUUUAAAAUAAAUAAAUUUCAAUAAAAUUAUUAAAAUAUUAUCUAAAUUUUAAAUAUACAAAAUAUAUUAAAUAAAACAAUAUUAAAAAGAUAUAUUAUAUUUUAAAUAAAAAAAUUUAAAAAACAUAUAACAUGUUAAAUAAAACCAUAAAAAAUAAACAACAUAUUAAAUAAAACUAAUAACAAGUAAAACUAUAAAUAUUUAUUUAAUAAUUAAAUAAAUAAAAUUGUUUACAAUUUUUAAAAAAUUGAAAACAAAACAAAAUAUAAACAAAAAAAAUAACGUGAAAAAAAAGAAUUACAACUUUGAAGUCGUAAUCCACUAAAAGAAAUCUUACUACUUCCAAGUCGUAAAAAAAAAAAACUUAUGACUUUGAAGUUGUAAAAAAAAAGUUAUACUGAAGUCAUAAAAUUAUACAUGACUCAAGUUAAAAAAAUUAAAGUUGUAAUAGGUGUUAUAACACGAAUGAAUCUGGGUUUUUUAACUACGGGUCUAGCAAACGAAAAAUUGAAAUAGAACCCAAUCCAAUAAGAUCUCCCCCUCUCAAGAUCGGGCGUGAAGGUUUCCUUUC